GAGAGAGAGAGAGAGUUUGCUUACCUCUGCGAGAAGAGGAACCGGACGGGGAUCGGAACCGCGAUGGGGAUGGGGACGACGAGCCGCUGCUGUUCCGCCUUCCGCGGGGGCUAGGGAUUCGAGCGACACGAGCGUUGGGGCGGCCGGGCGGGACGGGGAGAACCGGGAGCGGCAGCGGCGAGUGAUCUGCAGCGCUCUCUACUGAGGAAGAGGGAGAACUGAUGACAUGGACGACGAAGAGGUAUGGCGUUUGGGCCUGUGAACAUGGGAUCAGGGCAUGCAUGGCCCAGCAAGCUAGCAACGAACAGUCAACAUCUCUCAUCAAGGCCCAAAUGUGCCCCGAGCGAACACGAAAAUCCUAUCUAUCUCGCACAAGACCUCAAAAAAAAAAAUCUAUCUCGCACGAGAUUUUUUCUUAUCCAUCUUCCACAGUUAGAUACUUAGAUACGUGCAGCACUACGUGAACGGUUAAGAUUACACCUAUUUUUAAAAGUCAACAUUUUAGAUGAACUAUCUUAAUAUUUUUUAGAAAAAAAAGUUAGCGAAUGUCAAAGAAAUAUUGAGCCAAAAAAUGUUGGUGAAUGGAAAAAAAACUGAUGCAUGUAAAAACAAUAACGUUGGUGAGUGUAAAAAGAUUAAAUAAAAAUAUUGGUACAUAUAAAAAAUGUUGGCCAACGUAAAAAAAUUGUGAUAACAAUUAAGCCAGAUUUUUUAAAAAAAUUAUUGAUGAAUGUCAAUAAACAUCGAUGGAUGUUAAAAAAUAUUGUACAUAAAUUUAAUAUGGAUUUUAAAAAUAAGUUGCUUAUGUACCUGCCAGAAGGUAUACAAGAGCUCGUGAGAGAUUGUUUUUAAGUGGCAAUGUGGUUUGGUAGCGAGUUUAACUCAUUUAGCGUACACGACCUUGCUAAUUUCGUGUUACGAGAAAAGAAAGAGAUAACAGAGGUAUGUGCAACAUUUUUCUUCCAACUACUCCUAAAAUAUUGGGUAAAAAAGAACACAAUCAUCAGCAAUCAUGCCGUCACUUGGCGUCGCCACAUGCCCCAUGUGCGAAUGCAAAUGCAUUAGCUAGCUUGCUUCCCCAGCGCACAAAAGGGGAACAACAAUCAAAGGGCUACCAUUGAAAAAUGAUCAUGCGGGCAACUAAUGAGCGUUGCCUAACAUUGUAUCCAUCCUUUCGGUGAGAGAAAAGUGAGUGUCCUUUUAUCUCAUCUUUGUUCCUUAGAGAGAGGACACAAUCGCAAUGCUAUACGCUACUCUACCAACCACCUUAGUACGUGCCUCUAGAUUGCUAACAAGCUCUCGGUUGCUAAUAAUCACCAUGCGAAGCUCACUUAUCUUUGAUGAAGGUUCUUUUUGCUUUUCUUUUGUUCGAGAGGGAAAUGCUCGUGCUAUAAAACCCAAGGGACCAACCGGCUUAGUUUUCUAGAACGCUAGCCAGCUUUACUCAAUUACCAUGCCAAGCUCGCUUGCUUAACUUUAAUGUUUGCUUUUGAAAACUUUUUUUUUACUCCUUGAGAGUUGAGAGGGGAAUGCUUUACACUACUAAUAAUAUCAACCCUCUUGGAUCUUCUAGCAAUGCUUAGUUUAAUUACCUUGCGGAGCUCACUUAUCUUUAUUUGAUGACUGCUCAAGAAAGGUCGAGAAGUACCGCUUCCUACUAGAUGAAGUGGACGCUGUACAUAUAUAAUGUGAUCCGAUAGCUCAUAAAUCAACUCGACUUAAUUCUCUUGUACCGACGGCGCCGUAUAAUGUACAGAUAUAUAAUGUGAUCCGUUAUCUCUCUUUUUACAGGAAUAAACCCAGUGUGAUCCUCAGGUGCACUAGCAAACAGCCAUCAAUGACAGUGGGCCCGCAAAAGGAGCCUUUACACUAUUGGCCGCCGUGCACCGUGCACGCCGCUGGCCUGGCCCUUGGCCCGCGCGGAUUCGUGGUACGACGGCGACGACCUCCAUUUUUUUUUUCUUUUUUUGCUGGGGCGAGGGCAAAGCAACCCGCGAACCUUCCACCGCCACCAGCAGCCGUGGACGGUGGACCCCCAACAGCGCUGGCAGCUUGUGGCCUCAUCCCCCGUGGCUCUUUGCGGAGUCGGUCGGUGCUGAGUCGCCGCCCAAGUGAUCUACCAGGACCGGGUCCAGCGUGAGGUGUUUCAGCCACAGGGGACGAGAGGAAGAAGGAGAGAGGACAUGGCCGCUUCGUGCUCCGCGUACAAACACCCAGGAGGGCUACAGCGCCGAUUAAUGCCGCCUGUCUGCGUGCUGACGCGACAGUGGUUGGUGGACCUGGUCCACGGCAAGGCUAAUUAGUUGCCGCAAGGAAAAGACAAGGUACACCACCACCGUACCGGUUGAAUUGGUCCUGGCUUUUCUAUUGCUUUGCUUGUGUGACUUAGCAUUAAAAGCAUAUUUCUUAGUGUUAAACAAGGAAAAGGAAAAGAGGAAGGAGAGAUUAAGACAGAAAUGGUACACGGGAAGUGUAAUAAUCACCACUUAAAAAUAUUCCAAUCUCCUUUCCUAAAAGUCUAGGGAAGUCUUAUUCAAACAUUGCAAUUUCAUAUUUGCAUCUAAAUGCUGCAACACGCUAGCACAUAAUAAAAUUAUAGUGAUUUUUUUUAAUAAAACGUGAUAGUGAAUGUGAGUCACCGGAUUACUAGAGAUGGUCGGUGAAGAUACCGAACCGUACUUUUUUGGGCGAGGGAACCGCAUCGUGAAGUUACCGUGAAAGAAAUACUUAAUUUUUUAUCACACUAUUUUUUUUAGCAUCCCCUAAAAGUUGCACAGCAUCAUGACAAUUCUGAAUGGCGUGUACAAGUACAACCUUUAUCAAAAUAGGAGUACAAAAGAUGAAUAAAGCUUAAAAUUCACGGAAAAAGGGCAACGGAUAUAUAAGCAUGGACCGAGUCCACGGAUCACUGACGCGCACUGCGUUGGCACGCAGCAUUGCAGCAACCAGCAAGCAGGCAGAGGCGCGGAGCCAGAGCUCUCGGCCUCUCACAACGCGGACGCGGCGCCGGAAGAGCCCUUCCCUUUCCCUCUCCCCCCUUUCGAAACGAGGCAUCCGAGGUGGCCAACCGCAGGCGGGCGCCAUGAAGUCGGCGGCGGCGCUGAGGCCGCACAAGGCGCCGCCGGCGCGCGUGCCCACGCGGUGCGUCGCCGCGCUCUGCGCCGCCUGCUUCCUCCUUGGCGUCUGCGUCGUCAACAGGUGCGUCCGCCUUCGCCCCCCCAAAUCCGGCGUCCUUUCUGAUGGAGUCCCCGCCCGCCUCCAGUCCCUCGCUGCUCUGGUUUUGCGUUCAUCAAUCUGUCCUCUGCGCCGCGGAUUGAGACAAUGCUCAUCCAUUUUGAGGCCGGAAAUGGUGUUAUUGGUGUACAUUUGUGUGCUUCUUGCAGGUACUGGCCAGUUCCUGAGCACCCCGGUUGCCCGGACAAGGUAAUACAUAUUUUGUUUUCAGAUUUCUUCUCCUCUCCCUUUCAUGUUCCUACGGAUGCGCACUGACAUUCGGUCUCCAAUUUUCCAGGCAAGCUCUGACCACUCGAGGGCCGCGUUGAACCAAGUGUCACAGACUCGUGAAGUCAUCAUGUAAUGCCACGGACUUCAGUUCUGGAUACUCGAAAAUAAACUUCUUCGGUUCUGAAUUUACCUGAAGCAAGUAUGGAAUUGUUAUGGUGUAUUGGUGUUUCGAUCGCAGGGCUUUGGAUAAGACGAUAUCUGACAUCGAGAUGCGCCUGGCUGCUGCUAGAGCCGCCCAGGCGAUGAGCCAGGGCAUGUCGCCAAGUGAUUCAGAGGAGGACCAGGGAAGCAUGCGGCAUAGGAUGUCUUUUGUCAUGGGCGUUUUCACCACUUUUGCUAACCGUAAGAGGAGGAACUCAAUAAGGCAGACAUGGAUGCCGCAAGGUAGAUGGCUCAUCUUUAUUUUUUGUACUGCGAAGCCUUUGUUUCAUAUGAAAUGUUGAACGUUUGUAGGUGAUCAGCUACGGAGAUUGGAAGAGAAGGGCGUUAUUAUCCGUUUUGUAAUUGGACGCAGGUAUGGCCCUGUUUGGAGUUGGGGAUAAAAACAAACAAUGACAGAAUGUUCUUCUGUGGUAUCUUCCUGAAAGUGGGGAUUCUUUCUUGUAGUGAAAAUCCAAAUCCUGACAAUGAGGUGGACCGUGCAAUUGAUGCAGAAGAUAAAGAAUACCAUGAUAUUUUGAGACUUGUAUGUUCAGUUGAUAUCAACUUUCUUUUUUCAGUGACCCACACAACUGAUGUGUUUGCAACAUUGAUCAUCCUUUACAGAAUCAUGUGGAAGGCCAUGGAGGGCUCCCUAUGAAGAUUCAGAUGUUCCUUUCAACUGCCCUUACCAUGUGGGAUGCUGAUUUCUAUGUAAAAGCUGAUGAUAAUGUCCAUGUCAACAUUGGUAUGCCAACACGAGGACCUUUCAAUUUUGAUCAAUCUGGUAUAGCAUCAGUGCACUAAACUGAGAUUGGAGGGACUCUUUCAAUACAGGUAUCACCAGAUCUAUUUUGGCACGACACAGGAUGAAACCUCGGGUGUACAUUGGCUGCAUGAAAUCCGGACCUGUUGUUACUAAAAAGUAACGUUCCAUAAAUCCAUACUUUCAUUUUUCACAUUUUAUGGAAUUUACAAACAUGGUUCAUCUCCAUACCGAUUGAACAAUCGAGAUCACACUUUCACAUUUACUCAUUAUAAGGACAUUUCUUAUUAGAUACUCCCUAACAGAUAGGUUCGUCUUACCAAGAUUUGUUCUCAGAAAUGGCAUAACAAAGUUCCUGUUUAAUGUUAACAGUGACUCCAAGUAUUACGAACCAGAUCAUUGGAAGUUUGGGACCGAGGGUAACAACUAUUUUAGGCAUGCAACGCGGCAACUGUAUGCUGUUACCAGGGAUUUAGCAACCUACAUAUCAGCAAACCGGUGAGUUGUAAUGAUCGUGUGCAAUAAUAUACCAGAUUAACUCAAUGUUUAAUUCAUUUUUUUGACACCACUUUCAGGCAUAUCCUGCACAAGUAUUCAAAUGAAGAUGUAUCAUUUGGCUCUUGGUUGAUUGGGUUGGAAGUCGAGCAUGUUGAUGAGAGAAGCCUUUGCUGUGGUACUCCUCCAGGUUGGCACCUGCAUCUUACACUCAAAAAAUUUUCAUGCUUCUUCGGUAAUUUACUCCUGCUGCGACUAGUUAGUUAUUGCAUGCUCAUUGGGAUAUUGGCAUGAUUUUGCUUAACCUGGGAGUUAGUUGCUUUACUGUACUAGUUAGUUGAGCAUUUUUUUGAAGUUUCUAGUAAGAAAGGGAUGAUAUGAAUGCGUAACAACCACACCACUGGCUAGCAUCCAUCUUCAUUAGUCAAAACAUGCUUUCUCCAGCUUUCUGUCCUCUGCUUACCAGCAACAGCACCAUACUUUAACCAAACAUGCCCAUAGCUGACAAAUUGGUUUUUCAACAACAGUCACACCAAUACAAUACAAGACCUCUGAUCAUUUGUCACUGGCCCUAGGCACCAGGCGGUAGGCAGACCAGUGCUAACACCUAAUCGGGUGAUUAGCAGGCUAGGCAGCUUGGUGGGAUGGUAGGGCCUAGCACCUCAGCAUCACUUAGGUGCUCUAGGCAUCCAACUUGGGCAACAAUGGAGCCUGCAAUUGAAUUUCAUUCAUGUGAACACUACUAACAUUGAGCAGUAGAUGUAGAUGAUUACUUUUGAACAAACUCGAAAUACAAUGAUGCCAAUGUCACGUGGAAAAUUUUCCUGCCACUGUUUGCUAGUGUACUCUGUGCUGACCAUCUGCAGCAAAAGCUUUUUUUCUGUCAGACUCUUGGUUGGCAUGGUUCUAUCUUUUCAUGUUCAAUGCUUCUGUAAUUGGUACUAUUCCUUGUCUUUGGGAAUUAAUGUGCUCCGCGUACCUGGCCAAUCAUUAUCUGAUCAUUAUGGCAUGCUUUCAGUUGCACCUAAAUGGUAUCUUUAGUUCAUUGGCCUGGAAUGUUUACCUGUCAAGCAUCUAUUUACCUGUCAUGUUGCAAACCUUUUCGGGUCACUGUUCAGGUUACAGUGUGUUACCUCUCAUAAAGUCUUACUAUACCCCUGCACAUGUUUCAUGCAUCUCUGAUGAUCUUGCAGACUGCGAAUGGAAAGCGCAGGCCGGAAACCCGUGUGCGGCGUCCUUUGACUGGAAUUGCACGGGCAUCUGCAACCCGGUGGAGAGGAUGACGGAGGUGCACCGGCGAUGCUGGGAAGGCCGCGGCGGAACCGAAGGGCACGCACAGUUUUGACAGCCAGGGGACAUGGCAUCGUUGUACCAUUUCUUCUGUAGGGCUCUGUAAUUAGUCGAGAAACGCGCUUGGUAUGCAAUGGUCCAGUUUUUCAGAUGUGCAGCAACAUAUGCCAUCUUUUCCUGGCCAGUUGCAUGUGGAAGACGGGAGAGGGUGAAAGAUGAGGACCAUGAACCAGUGACGAGACCUCACUGGAUUCUUGCCGUGGUAUAUUGGUAGACUGAUCUCUGAAGAAUUUUCGAUAUAUGAGUUCUCCAGAUUUAAUUUAUCUUCUUAAAAAAAAAGAGUUCUCUAGAUUUGUCUUUGAUUCUGAAGUGGAGGAUCUGGUUUCUCUUCCAAAAGAAGGGAUACGGAAAGCUUCCUGUCAGAAUUCUGGGCUCACAUGGAAACUCCAAUGGAUCCAUCACACGCAUGAAAACAAAUCCGCUAUCUUUUUUAAAACUUUUUGCACAAGUAUAUUGUGAUGUUGAGAAAGUGUUCCAUUUAUUUGAUGUAUACAGACGGAAUUACAGAUACUACAUGUGAAGUACGUUUAUUUUCCCUUACGAAAUAUAGAAAUACACGCCGGGUACAUGUGCGGCCACAUGGAUAUACAUCGAGCACAGAAGAAGAUACGGAAAUACAUGUAUAGGAAAAAAUCAUUAUUACAUUAUACGGUUACACGGAUACAUGCCGUGUAGACGUGUACUCUCAUACGUGGCACUACGGAGCCGUCCACCACGGACACGGAGCCCAGGCAGCGCAGCAGAGGCCAGGGGUGGCACGAAUCGCCGUCGCCUCCGUCGCCCGCCUCCUUCUCCAAGCAAACGGAACUGAAAAGGCCCAGCCCCGACGCCGCCACCCGGCCUCUCCAUCCGCCGCUCGCCUCCCUUUCCUCCUGCUCCUCCUCCCGGCGCCUCCUCGUCACCCUCCGCGCCGCUCCACUCCACUCCCUCCCCGUCUCCUCCCCGCUACAUGGGAGCGCGGGCUCCCUAGGGUGCCCCCCCCGCCGCCGCCGCCAUGUUCGAGAGGGUGGUGAGCCAGGUGCUCGCCGGCCUCCUCGGCCGCUACGUCAAGGGCAUCCAGAAGGAGCAGCUUAAGAUCGGCUUCUGGAACGGUCAGUCCUCGAUCCCGCCUCCCCUCCUCUCUAGCGCCCGCUUCGCCCAAUCACGGCGGUUGCCUCAACCCCGAAAAACGCAGUAAUUCGUGCCUGUCCUGUUGCCCCGCAGCAUUUGUUUUCGAAUUCCGUGACAGCGUUUGGUGUUCCUCUAGUUUUGGCUUCCAUCACAGUGUAGUAGUUCUCCUGCCUGAUCAGUGCCGGGUUUGAUCGGACUGCGGGGUUUAUCUGCAGUUUGCGCAUUGUUCAGUGUUACAGUUAUUUUAGUAAGACAUGGUUUGCUAAGUAAUUCCUCGUAGUGAACUUAAUGGCUUCGGCUCGUGACAGUGCUGUGUGUGUGAUCGUGAUUGUGUUUUUGAUGACCCCAUGUGCUGCAGAGGAAAUACUGCUGAAAAAUGUAGAGCUGAUUCUGGAAGCCUUUGACUACCUGCAGCUGCCAUUCGCACUGAAGAAUGGUAUUGAUUUCCUGAUGCAAUUUAGUGUUUUCCUGUAUGUUAACCAUUGCAUAGUUGUCAAAUUUUAGUUCUGUUCUGCUGCUGUGCAGGGCGAAUUGGGAAGCUAAGCAUCAGGAUUCCAUGGAAAAAGCUUGGAUGGGACCCUAUUAUUAUUGUCAUAGAAGAUGUCUUUGUUUGUGCAUGCCCGCGGGAGGACUCUGAGGCAUGGCAUUGAAUUUUGGACGUAUUACACUGCUCAAUUUGCUCGUCACAUAUGUUUGCACCUUUUUGACCAAUGAAUUCUUUGUUUCUUGAUCAGUGGAGCUCAGAUUCUCUGGAUAAGAGAGAACUAGCUGGAAAGUUGGCUAAACUUAAUGCCAUUGAGCUUGCUAAAUUUUCCAGAAGAGUUACAGGUCAGCCUUCAUACCCAUGUUCCUUAUAGGCUGUUUGGAUUUAUUUGAUAGAGGGUUGUGAUUGGGAUUGGGAUAAGGAUAUGUUAAUGGGGUAGUUUUAAUCCUCAAUUGAAAAAGAUGAAGGGUUAGGAUUAGCCUACCCUCGUAUCCUGAUCCCUUAUGCCAUCUAUGUAUCCCCAAAUCAAAAUACCCUUCUGUUGGUUCAGUAAAUUUCAAAAAGUCAUUUUAUCUUUAUGAUAAUUUACUUCACUGUUAGCUUAACAAGUUCAGUUGCGUAUUCUAGGGGUAGCUUUAGUUUUCGGAUUGUCACAUUUUUGUUUAUUUUUCUACUGCAUGCCCUUUCUAUUCUAUUGAAUAUAAAAUUUCACUGAACUGGUAACAUAGACAAAACCUCACAAUUUUCAUGUCAUAUAUACUAAGUAUGCGUUUAAGUCUAUAAGAUGUGUUUAUCAAGGAACCUUCGAAAAAAGAUUUGAAGAUUUCCAAUAAUAAACUCUUUGCAAUCACUUGCUAACAUAUUUCUUGUACUUAAAUUUAUCCAAAUUUAACGUAAUUGCUGUAAAUCUCGUGUGUGUUCAGAAGAGUUAUGCAAUUUACACUAUUCAUGACCUUCCUAUUCUUUUGACCUUCAGAUAACCAAACGGGCCAGUCAUUUUUAUCCUACAUAUCGGCAAAGGUAUCAAACUUGCAUUAUUUCGCUCAAACAUCAGUAAUUUUGAAGGCCGUGCUGAAACAUAGGUUAUUUUAUUGGUUUUGUUUGACUCCUGAUGGCAGAUACUGGACAAUAUCCAAGUUUCUAUGCGAAAUUUUCAUAUCGUAUACAUGGAUACUCACAAUGAUCAAGUACGUCUGUUUGUAUUCUAUUAUUCAGUGGUGUGCAUGGUUUUGUUUCAGUUGGCAUCUAAGUUUGGUUUCCCAUGAAGAUGAGGAAAUACCCAAAUUCUUUUUUCGUAUGAUAUCACAAUGACGGCUGAAUUUAAUUUGUAAUCUUAACCUCUGCCCUUUUGAAAGGAAAAAAAAUCCAUGUGUCCCUCUUUAGUCUAUUGCCCUUCUGAAAUCGUAAUUUGGUUGCUUGAAAUAGAUAUCCAAAUAACAUCUAAUGGGCAUUUCCUUCUGCCAGCAACCUAGUUUCAGUGUACUUCACCCACUUUUGUUCUUACAUCUACCGUUCUACUCUGACAUCUUUCUAUUUUUCUUGGUGAAAUGUCAAUAGGGGAACUUUGUAUUUGGUUUGGAAUUCUCCAGUCUCUCAAUACAAACAGAUACUCAGAAGCAAAGUUUUACCAUGUGAGCUCAUCCAAUCAUUUCAUUCCUUUGUUCUAGAAAAAAAGCUAGAUUUUGAGAACAAAAGCUUCCACUAUGCUAGUUAAGUUCUUCUCCGUUUACAACUUUUUCAUCAUGGAAGAUUAGGAUUAGAGGAUAUGUUCUGUUUAGAAAAUAUAUAAUUUUGGAACAGAUGAAACUGAGACACAAUUAGUAAAAAAGAAUUUGACCACGGCCAGAGGGGUGUUGUCUUAAAAGAAGGGGAGUGCUGAACCCUGGCCGGCGAGGAAAGCUCGCUGAAACCCGGUUUGAGCCUGGUGGAUGGUCUCCUUGAUGGGAGACUGUACCAACUGAGCUCGCUCGGUUCUCAGAUGCAAUUACUAAGAAAUAAUGGAAAAAUGCUUGCGAUUAUGUGGAAAUACCUUAGUGUCGUAUCAUAUUGGGAAUAUUGCCAGCUUAACAUGGAAGCAUACUGUAGAAACUACCAUUACACAUUAAUGCCUCAACUCUUGAAGGAGCACAAAACUACAAGUGGAUAGUUUGCUUUUUUACUUUAAAGUUCUGUCUUUGGAGUUUCCUUUGGUGCUCUAGAUUUGCUUAAUGGAGCACAACCUGAUUUUAUUUGCGGAUAAAAGCGCUCAUUUUUCUGGUGUGAAAACUGUUAGGAAGGUUUUACGCUGUCGUUAAAAUUUUCUCUCACAUAUUGUCAUGGACUUUAUAAUGGUUAUGGAAUAGAAACAUUGUUGCCAUAUACUUUGUAAGCUCACAGACAUGGUAUUCCAUGCAAUUGAUUCAAACCUAUAUUUAUACUCUGUAUACAAUACAUUAAUGUUCAUCGUCUUUCUGUGCAGGUCAUUGAUGGCUAGGUCUAGACAAGAUGAAGUAAACAAGAUAAUAGAGAUAUCAGAUGUUGGAAUUUACUGUCAUCAGUUAGAAGAACAGCAGGACCUAUGCAAUGUUGGUGCUCUUGGAAAUGGCCACUCAAGGGAUGAUUAUCUUGUAAAUCCAUUUUCUGUGACUGUGUCUGUCCUUGUAAGUGCAUUGUUCCCUCAACAUGUUUCCAUCAAUGUCGAUACUGUCAUCAGUCUUCUUUUUCCAAAAGGCUUCCAGAGCUUUCUGAAUACUCUCAUAUUUACUUAGUUGCCUUUUUUUUUAAUGUGAUCAGCUUGAUCUAAUGCAAUCAUGUCUUUAUUGUAGGCUAACAAAGCUGCAAAGCUUGAUGGUGCCCCUCAGUAUGACAUGACUGUAGAGCUAAGUGCAUUGGUUCGUUUUGUAAUUUUUUCUAGAUGUCUAAUUUCAUAUGUAGAUAGAGUAUCAUCUGUGAUGAACUUCAGGAUUGAUCUGAGCACCUGCUUAUAUUUCCAUCUUGUCUGUAGGCACUAUCAGUUGAUGAGAUCCAGCUCCAGCAAAUCUUAAAUCUUUAUGAUUACUUCACUAUCUGUGAUUUGCGAACAAAGUAAGUUAUUCUAAAGAUGACUAAAAACUCCUACCUUGUUAUCCUAUUAAUAAAAUCCACUACCAUUCAUUUUGUAUAUGGAAACCAUGGGUUUCUUUUGUUUUUCCAUAAAAGAUCUUGUUCCUGACUUAAAGUCAUUGCCUGUUCACUUGCCCCUGAUCCUUCUACCUUCAAAUAGAUAAGGUUGUGAUGCCUGAUAACUGCCGCAAUAUAGCCAGUAAAUGGGCAAUGGAAUUUGCAACAGAUCAUCUCUCCCAUAACAAUAUGUUACGAUGGAAUUAAUGUCUUUGAAUAUAUGGAACUCAUUUGGUUUACUGAUUUGUUUAAUGUGAACAAGGGAUGCCAGAUUUUGAGUUACCUAUAAUAUCUGAUGCAACAAGUGAGUCUUAACAAUAUUCCUGUAACUUCCACAGAUAUGGUCGUUACCGCCCAUCUCAAAGCUCUUUAUCUAAGAGACACAAAGGUUGGCAGAGAAGGUGGUGGCAGUAUGCUCAGAAUUCAGUAUUAGCAGAUGUUCGCAGAAGACUGAAGAAAACUUCAUGGCGUUAUUUUAAGCAGCGACUGUAAGUUUGUCUUUCCUUGUUCAAUUUGAUUGCGACAGAAUUACUAUAUCAGUUGAAUGGUACAAUAUGGGCACAGUGAAUUUGAAGUUUCUUGAAAGAAUUUAUGGCAAUAAAGAACUGCUGCGUGGUUUGAUGGUCUUCUUUUGUGUCAUGGUUAGGUUGUCAAUCACAGCAAAUGCAUUAAAUGGUUUCAUGAAUAUGUUUUAGUUUCUCUUUUCUGCUAGCAAGCUUCAGGGAGCUCAGACCAAAAUAAAGCAUAGAGCCUAUCUGCUGACAGAUAGGAAUAUUAAAAAAAAUCCAUUGUGCCAUAGAUGAUACCUGAAAUUGAUGAUCUGGUUUUCCUGUUGUAAUCCUAGAAACAUCACUCUUGAUUUGGGUCCAUCAGCAGAAGGCAGUACCUUAAAAAUAGGCACACGGCUUUCAAUUAGGUCUGAUUGUGAGAACACCUUUCACGUUUAUCAUUCAUUAUUCACUUAUCAGUACUGCCUCAUUUUGGUCCUGUACUAGCGCUUCGCUGUUUGGUGAUCUUACUUAAGGUAGAACAAUACUUGCAUCUUUUGCUUACACGGCAUUGUUUUAAUCUACCGUUUUCCUUUCUAUUGGAUUAAAACUUCCAGUACAUUUAAAUAUUGUGUGUUUUCUAUACAUUUGGCAGCAAUUACCGCCUAGGAUACGUCAAAUUGUACCGAAUGAAAUUGGAACUUCUGCAGAAAGGACAGGUAUUCAUUUAUUCAUGAACUUUCAUUUUUCAUGAUUCUGAAGUACAAUAAACAAUUGUUAUAGUGCAAAUGUACAAUGAAUCAAGGCUGGGUAGCUGUAACUUUGUUUCGCAAAAAAAAAAGGGUAGCUGUAACUUUGCUUACUGAUUCCAACCUUUUAAAGUUUACACAUAAAUCCUAUGCAUGUGGUCCUGUCAGUUUUCACUGCUGUUUUGGCAAAAAGAUGCUGAUUCUCACAUUGAGCUCACCAUACCUAUAUUUGGAAUUUGGUCACACUGGCUAUAUAACCCCUUAUUUGUAUGUUGUUUCCCUCUUCCAAGUAAACAAUAUUUAUCGAUGAAUUUUCUCUCUAGAGAAAUUUCCGAAUUAAAGUUUAGAUUGUAUUGUAUCAGGAGAUUUUUCCUUUAUGUAUAUACAUAUGGUUUCUACGUGUCAUGUUUUUCAUGAAUUUAUAUGUUUGCUUUUUUCAGAUUGUUAGUAAAGACAUUCUACAAGAGCUGGAAAAUAUGGACAAAGAAUGUGAUAUAGAUGACAUACUUAACUACAGAACAAUGGCAGAGCAACAACUGCAGGUAGUUGAUGCUUCUAUUAGAAGAAUGUGUGUGGGUGAUUGUGAAUUAUUUUGUUCAGUUUAGCCACUAGGGUUGAAAACGUGACCUAAACAUUUUGACCACUGUGAUUGAAUUUGUAUCUACCUGCAUUUCAUAUAUAACAUCCAUGAUUCAUGGUUGGUACACCACUUGGGCUGGGAAGUACCUGUUUAAGUUGGUUUGAUGCUGUUUGAACUAUCGUUAGCCUUGGAAGCUAAGCAAAUAUUGGCUCUCCAAGGCUUACACAUAGUGGGCUCUAGUUUCCUGUUGGUACAUAUCUGUAUGUGCAUCAUAUCUGAAGUGUUGUAGUAACUCAGGGGUGACUUUGACACCAAAAAUGCUGUUCAGGUCUUUCUGUUCAUGAAUCGUUUGGCACAUCAAAUACCAGCUGCUGGAAAAAAGAAACUGUUUGAGGCAAUUGCUGUGACCUGCUGAAAACCCUGAUUGAAGGCACUUGCUGUGAAGGACUACCAAAUCGCAUGUCAUGUAUAUGUUCUUUAAAGUGGGACUGAACCAGGAGUAUUAUAACUUCUCUUUUUUGGGUAGAAAGUAACUUUGAUACAUUUAUGCUUCCUAGAAGAAUAAACAUUAUGUUUGUCUAGUGCAUGCAGUAUUGGAAGGUAUAUAUAUCUUUAGUUGUUCAUUCUUCGCAUUUUUCCUAUAUUCUUGUUUAAGAAUGUAUUUCCUUGUUUUUCAGCGUUAUCUAUGGUAACACCUCACUGAUAAUUGGCAGGAAUCAUUGGUGAAAUCUACACAAGAUACGUCUAGUCCAGGAAGUCCUCGAACUGAUGAACAGUCGGCAGGGGCAAGCCGGGGGUGGCUAAACUGGCUUUCUCUUGGAAUGCUUGGUGCUGGUGGAACAGCUGACAGUAGCUCAUUUGCUGGUGUUGUUUCUGAAGACAUUAUUAAGGUUAUACUUUAUAGCCCUUGACUUAUUCUGCUUAUGUGGUUAAUUCUUUUUUUUUUCCUUGAACGUGGCUAACCAGUUUUAUGCAGUAAGUUUUUAGGAACAGGCAGUUCUGAGAUCAUUAUUUUCCGUUUCAGGAUAUAUACGAGGGAACAGAAUUUCAUCCCGUUUCUUCUGCUGAAUAUUAUUUGACGAAAGAAAACUACUAUUCUUUGUUUGUUAGACUAUCUGUUUCUCAGAUAGUCACAACUGUCGCCUCCAGGCAAGUGUUGCAAUUCUUUUGUCUUUUAUGGCCUUUCUAUAACUAGUAAAGUUAGCUACUCAAAAGGUUUGACAACCCUAGUAAGUAAAAUGCACCCAGGGUCCUUAAAACUUCCCUUGGAUUCUCAUAUAGGUCCAUAAACUCUCAAAGUGAGCAUCUGGUUCCUUAAAGCUUUUCAAGUUGUCCACUAUAGGUCCAAUAAUGGUCUUAUGGACCCAGAUGCUCACUUUGAGAGUUCAUGAAUCUAGAUGAGAAUCCAUGAAAAGUUUAAGGAUCCCGGGUGCACUUUACUCCUAUUCUAUCAUGGCUCUAAAGAUUGUCUCCGCUUAGGGCGUGUUUGGUUCUGCGCCAGACUCCGCCAUGCCACAAGCGAGGCGGCCCUAGAGAAAACCUGGUGCUGUUUGGUUGCUUCUUUGCUUUUAGCACGCCACACGAUACACCGUUGUUUGCGGUGCGUUUUCUCGCCUCAACUAUAGCCUUGCGGCACCUGCUGUGCGGCAGGGUGUGGCCGGCAACCAAACACGCCCUUAGUCUUUAUAAGAGUUCUAACAACUCGCUAGGGAGGAAAAUGCAUCAACUUAAAAGAUGUGUCGUGGUGGCAAUUGAACUUGAAGUAUUUUAUUCUGAAUGUUCACAAAUACUAGCAGCUUUGUGGGGAUACUGAAGUGUUAGGUUUUAUAGGAUUCUGUGUGGCCUAAUUGAGAGUUCCAACAACUUGCAUGAAAAACUGCCAUCAGAAAGCCAUGUUUGGUUAUUUUGUAAGAGUUGCCCAGGAUGAUCUUAUCCUGAGCUUGCCCAAAAAGCCUUAGAGUCCCAAGCAAGUAAUGGUAAAAAUGCAUUGUAUGUUGGACAUAAAUAAAUGCAGAUUUACUACAUUUUCAUCAUUUAAUUCAUCAUGUGUCCUUCCAGGUUAUUUGUUCUUUUUUUGUCAGAUGCGUAUAUAACACUAGCAACUCAAAAAUUCAAUAUUUUAAGUUCAAUUAUUUGCAGCCAAUGGUCAAGAUUUCUUUUGCUGCAUGAAUGAUUUAACGUAGAGGGAUGAGAGGCCCUUUGUUAUCGACUAACUUUUCUGCGCAUUGGUGGUCUAGGCGGUUCGGCAUGAAGCUUGUAGAUGCAGUGUUUGCUGGGCUUGGUAUGGAAUUGAAAAAAUGGGAUGAUUCAGCAACUAUUCUUGCCUGGCUUGAUUCUCUUCAAGUUAUCAACCCGUCAAAUGAUAUGAAAAUCUUAAUGGCCGAAAAGGUACAAUGUGGUUUAAUCCUCAAUCUUUUUUGUUCCAUUUUGUGGGAUGCUUAUUUCUUAAAUUGGUACAUAUUUUAGUGUAGCACUGGUGAUGGUCUCGGGGCACCUGUUAUCAGUAUCCAAGUUGACUUUCCCAAGUCAAACCAAGGAUCAGAAGCUUCAACAAGAGUACUUAUGUUCAUUUCUAUAGAGUUAGAAAUAAAGUUAUUGGCUUAUUGCACAUGCGGUGUUCAUGAUUGUGCUGAUAUUAGUAUAUUGUCAUGUUCCAUUUCAGGUUGUUGUCCAGGAAUUCAGUGCCAUCUAUGAACCAGAAUUUUUGUUUAACGUCCUACACGUCUACGAUCUGUUUUCCUCUUUCCAGUUUCAGCAUGAUAGGGUAAGUCUUGUUGUUGUGCAUCCAUAUUCUAUUGUAGUCUAUUUUAUAUCUUCUUGCUUUGUUACUGUUACUGAGUUCUUAUGCAUAAAUUUAUUAAACAUAGCUAACACUGGUAAUUAAGAAAGAGAUGGAUGCAAUAGCCAAUAUGCAAUUGGUUUCCCAAGUGAGACUUUUUGAGAAUGUUUGGUACAAUAGAAGUUAGAAUGUUUGCUGUUGUAACCAUGGUCCCCUCUCUAUAAAUAUUUUUGUUCGUUUGCAAAAAUGCAAAAUCGCCUGACAUUAGCUCAUUUUUUUUCAUUUCUUUGUUGGUCCUUCAAAGUGUUUAAUUAUACUGUAUCGGUGGUAGAGAGACAUUGGAUAUUUCAUGCAGUUCUCUCUGUAAGCAAUGUUAUGCAUGGCUAUUCUGAUUUACGCAGGUGCUUUCCUCUCUAAAUCGGUUCGAUAAUUUGGGAGCACGACUUGUCUCAAAACUAAAGUAUCAACUCAUCUCCCCUUUCUUUUCUGUUCAUACCGUAGUAUGAUUGUAUACUUUGAGUAAUAUUUUGAACAUAAUUCAAGGUACAUGUCUUCUAAUCGUAAAAAGCUUAUUUGGGAUUUGAGGAUUCACCAUUUCGCCAUUAGGCUACCAUCACAGAAUUGUGAAAGGAAAGAACUUACCAUGGUAUGUGCUAAACUGCUAAUGCUAAAUAACAUUGUCUUAUAUAGUGCUCAAUCGGCAUGUUAAUACCUUGAUAUUUAUGUGAGCAUAAUUUCUACAUAUUAAGUUCCCAAAUUCAUAUUGGUAUUGAUGGCUACCAGUUUUCCCUGAACCCAACCAGAAUUUGAUAAACUGGCCUUGUUUAAUUUAUUUCAAGUUUGAAAUUUAAAUUUGACAUUUGAUAUGUUUGUAAAUAAGUCAUGGAAGCAAAUUUGGAAGAUGCGACUUUUUUGAAGGCCCCAUUUGCCUGUGUUGUUGUUUCAAAACAUGAGGCUCCUACAAAAUCAAUAGAUGCACUUGUCAGAAGAAAGAUCAUUCUAAUGAGUCUUAACUUAAUUAUCACCAUCUGCAUUUGUAGCUUCAAUUGGUUGAUUCAAUGGCUAGUUUUUCUUCUUUUUUUUAUCAUUGAACAAUUAUUGUAACUGCAGGUUGUUGAGGCUGGAGAUUUAUUCAUUCGGUCCAAAGAUAAUGCUGAGGAUGUUUCUCAGACACAAGAAAACAAUUCCUUUCUUGAUCGCAUAUCAAAAAGUCUUCCUAGUUAUUUUUCUGAUGAUAUGCUACUUGGUAUCCAGUUGGAUGAGCUUUAUAACCACUUUGAAGUUGGCCUUACUGGGUUUCAGGUCAGACAUGGUGCAUAAUUUGUUGUUCUGUUUUUUUGUUUAUUGAAUAUCUCCAUGAAACAACAAUAAAUGAUUGUUUGCAGGUGAAGGUAUUGCUGCCUGACAGACAUAAUGUUUCCUCCACACUGAUUAAACUUGAUGCUUCCAUCGCACUUCAAUUAUGUGUAUUCCUAGACGAACCAGUGCUAAAACAAUUGGAGGUGAGAUUUUUAAAGGACAAUGACAAUUUUGUCUUAAAUGAUCUGGUUCUGGUGUAACAGUACAAGUGUAUACUGAAGUUGGUUUACCAUGGUUUGUGCAAUGUGUUUGCUUACACAUUCUCUGUUGAUGUAAGUUUUUGUAAGCAGAAUUUUUUCUAAACUAUUAUUUUGGCAGGUUGGCUUUAUUGUGCCAUUCAUUGACAUGUACCUCUCUCAGACAAUGUACAGUGCUAUUGUUAAUUUGCCUACAGUGAAAGGAACUAACCUUGUCGGGAACGGUACAUUUGAUAAUGCCAAGACACAUGGACACAAGAAAUUAGCCUUAAAUAUGUCUGUCUCUCUCAAGCUAGCUAAGUUGGGUUUACAGAUUGACCUUGAUGGUAAUUAUGAUGAAAGUUCAGGUAUCAUGGUUGCUGUUGAAGACAUAGAUAUCAGGUUAAUAAUUGGCUACUAAUCUUGCAAUCUUGAUUUUUUUUACUGUUUUCUUUUUUUUUAUGUGUGGUUUGUUGUUGUAAUUUGUAGGUAUGCUGUCUGUGAAUUGUCAGACCUUUCUCUCGUCAUGAAGACGAUCAAUAUUACUUCCAAUAAGUGGAAGGAUGAAUCAGAUUCACAUGUGCUAUGUUUAUCAGGAAAUUUAACACAAUGUCCUGAAAAUUCUGUUGAAGCUUGCUUGAAUCUGCAUUACAGAACUCACAUGUAUGAUGAUCAAAUGCAUCAUGUGUACCAGCUAAAUAUACGUGAUGUUGAUCUGCAUGUUAACCCAUCUGUUAUUGGCCAGAUACGGAUGUUUUUGAGAAAUCUUGAUUCAGGACCUUCAGUCGGCAGUGUUAUUGAAUCAGCAAUGAUUGAUCAGGGUUCCAGGAAAUCCGGAGCAAAUAAUGGCAUGCUUCCCAAGUUUUCCUUGUCAAAUUUAUGUGGUGCAGAUGGCACACUAUUCACAGGGGUUUCUGUUGACCACUUUCCCUUUGUAGAUACAGAUUACACAUAUGGAUAUAGUUUUGGAUGCUUAGGAACUCAAGAUGUUCAAGCACAAGAAAGUUCAUAUUCAAAGAAUGAGCAAUGUCAUGAUUCUUCAGGUUUGAAUGGCUCUCAUGCAUCAGAUCUUGCGAGCAAUUCACUGUCUAUCACUCAGCAUGCAAACUGUUUAUCUACCUCAUCAAAUAACCACAAGAAUGUCAGCAGAACUGUUCUGGACCUAUCUCUUGUUUCAGUUAGAGUACAUUUCCCGGAAUCAUGUGGUACUUUAGCAACAAUUACCAUUCCUGAAUCUAUAGCAACACUCACUUUUUUUGACGCAAGCUCAUGGGACCUACUAUUGUCUGCAAACAAUUUGACUCUUGCUUCACCAUGGACUCCACCAAACAUCCAUGAGCUACUCUGGGGCACAUGUUCGCAUCAUAAUGCUAGCGUGCUCAAUGUCCGAGUUAAAAAAGACUUACCUGCACUGUCAACCGAAGUUUGUGUUGGAAUUCAAAAUGUUUGCUGUGUAUUGCCAUCAAAGUUACUGGCUAUGUUUGUUGGAUUCUUUUUGUUGGAUGACUGGAAUCCUAUAGCAGAACAGGAACACCCGUUGGCAGGUAACAAUCUUGAGUGCAUGGGAGAAUCACACGAUUGCAUAACAUACAAAUUUGAGAUCUGUGAUUGUGUCGUAAUUUUUCCUGUGGAAGAGCAAGAUUUCUUUUGUCUAAAGCUGGGAGUUCCACAUUUUUUCUGUGAGUUCAUUGCAACUGGAAGUUCUGUAGAAUUUGCAAAGCGUAUUCCCAAAGAAUUCUUCAGUUCGGAGUGCAUAGUUUCCAGUAGAGUUGAUGUCAUCUGCAUAUAUGCAAGAAAUGCAUCCAUAUCACUUCUAUUCGUAGGUGAACAAACAAAUUUUAUGCUGAAGCUUGAUGAGAAUAUUCCUAAGAGAAUCCAUUCUCUUAUUGAAAAGCUUGAUGCUGGCAUAUGGAUUCAGGUUCCUUGCAAAGAAAUAUCGUGGUCCCAGCAGCCUAUUUUGCCCACCUCAAUUAUGAGCAAAAUAUCACAAUGCAACUUGGUUGCUGAAGGUACCAGAUCAUUAUUGAUCUUGCUUUUUAACUUCUUGAGAUGUCUUUAUGUAAUAUUAACUUCUUGCAGUGCCAAAUCUUUUACUUCUUGAACUUUGUCAAAUCUUCUACAGAUCUCUAUUUUAUAAAUGGGAUGGAGACAGUUAUUGGUGUUAUUGACCAGUUAAUUUCGAUUGGCAAAGAAAGCAAAAUGUACAAUGGCAAUGCCUUGCAGUUUUUAGAACAUAGAAGUUUCAAUGAGGACAACCCUGACCCUAACGAGCGUACCAAUAUCACCAUUUCGAUCAAGGAUCUGAGGAUUCUCUUGGGUCGCUCGAAAGAUAAAAAUUUGGCACUGGAGAGGAUUGCCACUGCAAACCUGGAGUUUGGUGUUUCUGCUGUACUAAUUAGUGAAAAACCAGAGCGCAUGAACCUUGAGAUUGUUUCUUUAGCCCUGCAGUCACCCGGUGGUUACACUCUCAUCUCCAUUGUUUCUGAUGGGCCUCUAUCUCCUGUUUUCAUCAAGUUUACGAAGCACCAUGCUGGACAAGAUGAGAUAUUACUAAGUGUACCCCUUUUCGAGGUCUGGUUAUAUUUAGAGGAUUGGAAUACGAUUGUUAAUCAUUUCCAUUCAUAUGUAAAGAAAAAGGUAGACAGUUUGCCAAUGGAGCAUCCAGCAGCUUCGCCUCAAUUCCCAGAGACGACAUCAUCACCAUUUAUUGCAUCAGAAUUUAGUUCACGAGAUGAUCCCAACUUAGUGGUAACAUGCGAAAGUAUUGCUGGUGUUGUUCAUAUACCUAUCUGGGAGAAAGAAGAAAAUCACACAAGAAAUCACAUGGCCGGGACUCCCGCUUCUUUUACAGUGCAAAUGAGCACUCAUCAUGAGGCAGAUGAUAUUCAAUAUCGUGAACCAAAAGGUUGCAAGUUUGUCACCUUAACUUUUGAGAGUAAACAUUUUGUGGUGAUGUCAGGUGAUAGCUGCAUGAAUUUUAAAUGUGAUUUAGAGAGGAUGAAGAUAAUGCUGGAAAUGAUUCAAGAGAACAAGGGUACCUCUGUUCCAUUUCUGCAUAUAUCUAAGGUCAAAUCUUCUAGUUAUAUUCAUCAGUCAGCAAAGGGUUUGGAACAUGUUUCUGUUGAUCUACAAGCUGAAUACAUGGAUGCUAGUUUUUCGCACCAGAUAUUUAGCUUUUGGCGCAAUAUGGAACUCGAAUUUCCUGCUGCAUCAUCUGCACCCUCCUUUUGUUCUGUGACAUUCAAGGCAGGAUUAAGGAAAGGGUCUCUUCUUCUAAAUGAUGGAAGGGUAAGUAGUGUUCCAUUGAUGCUAGUCCUUGGACUUUAUUAAACUAGUUGCUUAUUAAAUGUUGGAAAUGUUUGGUUCAGCUAUGUGCAUCAAUACUGAUGCCCAUUGGAAGAUUAAAAAAAACAGUUCAAUUAUAUUGGCAUCAAAAGAGCAUCGUGAAAUGUUAAUGUGAAUUAUGUAAUGACAGAAACAUCACAAAAUGGACUAACUAUCAUAAAGCGUUAGAUGACAGGACAAAUUUUACUAGUACUAUUCACAGAUCAAUAUAUAAUUUGGUAAGCAGCAAGAUACAGAGAUGUUUUGAUCUAAAGAUGAAUUUGGACCACCAGACAUGAUCAGGCAAGGCAUGGGUUAUGUUUGUUUCAUUAUUUGGUAAUAUUAGAUAGAUUUGAGCAUAUUUCUGUAAUUUAGUUAAAAAAUAGAUUUGUAUAUAUUUUUAUGAACUUUUUAUACAUCAAAUAUGAUAUGUGGCAUUAUGUUUCAUUCAAGCUCUAACCUUAUACUCUUUGUUCUCGGUAAUUUUGACAGUGGAGCAGUCAUGGACCUGUAAUAGAGACCUUAUUGAAGAAUUUAACUGUGCAAUUUAGUCAAAUGAAGGAUCAGACAGAAGUUUCUGCUUUUGUUGACCUUCUAGUAAAUUACAACAACAUUGACAAGGUAAAAUAAUACUCUAUUCUUGCCUCUCAAAUUUUGGCUAUGAUGGUGCUGGAAUAACAACUUAUAUUUUUGUAGGUUAUGUGGGAACCUUUCAUAGAACCCUCAAGGUUUCAGCUAAAUAUGCUUAGAAAAUGUGCUGAUUGUGCGCUGGAUAUAUCACCCAGUACUGAUGUGUGUUUAAGUUCAAGCAAGCAGCUUAAUCUGAAUAUAUCAGAACCCUUAAUUGAGGUAUGUGAAUGUGAUUCUGGUAUACUGUGAUUUUUCUCUUGGCAUGAAGCAAAUGUUGUUAAUACUUUUACUAUCAGUAGCUUUAAGCGAUAGCUUUUGUAGUUUAAUUGCUGAUAAAAACAUUUCGAUUCAAGAAUCAGGAUAGUAAAUCAUUUCCCAUUUCUUUUAUAUCUGCUAUAUAUCUUUUUCAAGGAAAAUAAGAGGUUGGUGCAAGAUUUGGGUUUUGGGAAUUUUGAUCACUUGUAAUAGUAGAAUCUUGAUCCAGAUCACUUGUAAUGAUAGAAUGUAUAAUUAUCUAUGAGGCCCAGUUCUUAAAUUAUUGUUUUGAACUCUUCAUUUGCAUAUGCAGGCUAUCAUCAGACUUAGCAAGAUGAUAACAGAUUCUCUUGAUCCAAGUAAUGGUGGUGGUCUUCGAGAAGAUCCUGGAAUCUUGAGAUUAAGCCAUGAUGAUGUGCGUACCAGAAGAUAUGCACCAUACAUUCUCUCGAAUGACACAUCGUUGCCCUUUAGGUUCAAGGUGUACCGUGGUGCUGUUAAUUCAGAUGAUAUUGACAAUUUCUCUGUAAUAGAUGAAAACUUUGUGCCAGCAGGGUAUGCUGUCCCAAUUUACGUCGAAGAAACUCUUGAUGAAUUCUUUUUCCAACACAGAGAAGCACGAUCUUCUGAACAUCUCAUUGAGAAACGGAUGAAUGCUGUAUCACACUAUAUGAUCUCCAUUGAGUUUGAUGGAACGUCAGGGCCUUCAAAGCCAAUGUCAAUGGACCUUGUGGGCAUUUACUUCUUUGAAGUAAACUUCUCUUCAAGUAAAAAGCCAAUUCUCGGUGAAGAAAGUUUAGGAGCAUUUUCGUCUAAUAGAAAGGGUAACGAUGGGUUAAUUGUGCCUGUGGUGCUCGAUGUUUCCUUACAGAAUUACAGCAAGCGUAUACGAGUUUACUCAACGGUAAUGACUAAUGCCGUUUGAAUAAUCAAUUAACUCUACCAUUGGAUGUGUACACAUAUUAAUGGCCUCCUUUUCUAGGUUAUACUGUACAAUGAGACAUCAAUGCCCCUCGAAUUGAGGUUCGAUAUACCAUUUGGUGUAUCUUCAAAGGUACAUAAUUUCAACUUUGUAACAAUUUUUAACUCUUUAGAUGAACUUACUACUAGGAAAUUAAGUUGCAUUUCUAUGUCUUCAAAAUUUUCAUCUCUAUCCAAGGUUAAAAAAAAUCCACCAAAAGAACCAACUGUGAGAUUUCUUAUGUAAACUUUAUUCUUCAGGUAAUAGGGCCCAUUCCUCCAAACAAAGAGAUUCCACUGCCAGUUCAUUUGUCUGAAGCUGGCCAGAUUAGGUGGCAUCCUGUUGGCAGAACAUACCUAUGGAGUGAAACCCGCUCCCUAUCAAGUUUGCUUUCACGUGAAAGCAGGGUUGGGUUCAUGAAAUCAUCUGUUUGCUAUCCUGCUCACCCUAGUAAGGAUCCAUUUCGUUGCUGCAUAUCUGUUGAAGAGUACAAUGUCCCUUCAUCUAUAAGUACCCGGAAGGGUCAGUUCUGCAGUGAACGUUUGAACGCACAACCAGUUCUUGGAAGUUCUUCUCCAAGUAAUACUAAGCAGAGUUUGACAAGGACACAUUUUAUACGACAUGUGAGGCUUAAUACACCACUUCUCAUAAAGAACUAUCUCCCUGUGUGCAUUUCUUUGACAAUAGAUAACGGUGGGUCUGCACGUGUAGUUUCGCUAAAGGAGGUAAGGUUCUGGUGCCAUUCAUAUAUCUUAUCUCAGCUCAUUUGUUUUUUCACUUUCAAAGUUGUGAAUCAUAUUCACAGGUGGGCUCUGCCUCUGUUUUUUCUGUUGAUCCCUCCAACGAUCUUGGAAUUACAAUUGAUAUUCAAGAUUAUAGGUCCUUGGCCAUAAAGUUUCCCCGGGCCGAAUCGUUCUCUACUGCAGCCAAGUCAAAUGGCUUCAAAUUCUCCACAACAGAGACAAUUACUUUCUACUCGAAUCUGUCGAAUUGUAUGGAGUUCGGACUUCCUUUUUAUUUUUGAAGAACUUACGCCCACUAUAUAAUAAAGCUCUGAUGUCAAUUUGUUCUGCAGCUCCUCUUAAUGUUAUGCUGGAGAAAUCAAUGGAUGCUCGUUCUGGCGCAAGAGAGUUGUAUCUUUCUGUUCCAUUUUUGUUGUACAAUUGCACAGAUCUAUUGCUUACUGUCACUGAAAGCAGCUAUGAGAGAAGUGGAUCCACCCUUGUGAUUCCUCCUAGUUUUGAGUUGGAUGGACAUGCAAGGCAUUUGCUUGAAAAAAGUGGUCUUUCUCUUGUUGAUCCAUCCAUACAGUAAGUGUCUUUCUGUCCUUUAGAAUUCAGUUUUUAUGUCCGUUUUAACAAUCUGUACAAAUUUCUCUUACAGGCACGUUGUAGGCAAAAUGCCUGUGUUAGAUUUGAUGGAUGGAUCUUCUUCAGUGAUAAGUUGUACCAAUAACAGUGAGUCUGUAAAGAAAGAAUUUGACAAAGAGGUUAAAGCUUAUAUGUUUGCUCCUGAUGGACACACUCCAGCAACUGAACUUUCAGUUAAGUUGAAUGCAUAUCCACCUAAUAAUGGAACUGAAACAACUCGGCGAGAUUGGUCAAAUCCCUUCCUCCUUGUCCCUGGAAGUGGUUCAACAAAUAUUACUAUUCCUCAGUCAUCUACUUCUGGUGCCUUUUUAGUUGCAGCGGCAUCCAUACCUGUUUCAACUGAACUUUUUGGAAGGACAAGAGCUAUUGCUUUCAGACCAAGGUAAUUGAAUGGUUUCCAUUUCAUCAAGUUGUGGCGACAUAUUUGUUUCCAAUUGUCAUCCUUGUCUACCGCAACUUUAUAAAUAGUGUUGAAUUUUCCCUAUAUAAAAUGUUUCAGAGCACUAUAUUUGAGGAACUAUUCCAGUCAUUAGAAAGCAAAGCAACAAAAUAAUAGUUAUGUUCUUUGUUCCUACUAUUUUGCAGAUAUGUGAUAUGCAAUGCUUGCAGCAAUGAUUUGUUCUUUCGACAAAAAGGAACGAGGUUUUCUAAGCACUUAAGUUCUGGGCAACACUCUUUCCUUCACUGGUCUGAUACAGCAAGGUGAUUUGCAUCAUUUACUACCCUGUAUACCUUGGCAGUCUGGUUUGUUUGAACCUAUGAACUGUUUAACACAAAAAUUGGAUUUUUACGGUUUAGAUGCAUGCUGCAGAAAUCUGGAUUGAAAUUUUAUACAGCCCUACUUUCUCCAAUGAUGUGUUCAUGCCACAGUUGUUUACUAUAUACUGAUGUGACUUUAUAUUUAAAAAAUAUUAAAUGAAAAUGAAUCCUAUUCUUGCUUAUAUUUAAAAAUUGAAAGUGUACUAAACCUCAUUCUUAUCAGAGUGCUGUGUGUUGUAACUCUCUUCUUCUAUUAAUGCAAUGAUACACAGCUGUCCUGCGUGCUCGAGAAAAAAAAAAUCAGAGUGCUAUGCUCAUUUUGUUCUCUGUACAUCUUCCUAUAUUUUACUGUUUGUGCUGAACAACCUUGUUUUCAGAGAGUUGCUGGUAUCCAUUCGAUUUGAUGGGCCAGGAUGGCAAUGGUCGGGAAGUUUUUUCCCUGAUCACCUGGGAGAUGCUCAACUGAAAAUGAGGAAUAGUGCCUCAGGUGUAUCAUAUAUGGUUCGAGUUGAGGUUCAAAAUGCUGAUCUAGACAUACACAGCAAGAAAUUUUCUGGAAGAAACAAUAUCAAUACUGGUACAGUACUGAUUCUGCUUUCUGAUGACAAGACUGGGUUUGUACCUUACAGGAUCGACAAUUUUUCGAUGGAGGUAACUAGUUUGUGCUUCCUAGCUUUGUUUGGAAAUUGAAUUAUUAUCAUUCUUAUGAUUACUCUUUCAAUAAAUUCAGAAAUUGCGGAUAUAUCAGCAGAGAUGUGAAUCUAUUGAAACAAUUGUUUAUCCCUACACAUCCUGUGAAUAUGCUUGGGAUGAGCCUUGCUAUUCUCAUCGCCUUACUGUUGAGGUAUGUAGCUUGUUAUCAAUUUGACUUGUCUUAAACAAAUUAUGCAACAUUGAAUAGUUUUAAAAAAAAAAUUAUGCAACAUCGUUUCUCCCUCAUACUAUGUACAGAUUCCUGGAGAACGAAGUUUGGGUACAUUCAAUCUGGACAUUCUCAAUGAUGAUGUUCAUGUGUUGCUACCAUCCACAUCUGAGGUAAAUAAAUGUCUUCAAAUUUGAUUAGCAUGUCUCNNNNNNNNNNNNNNNNNNNNNNNNNNNNNNNNNNNNNNNNNNNNNNNNNNNNNNNNNNNNNNNNNNNNNNNNNNNNNNNNNNNNNNNNNNNNNNNNNNNNAAUUUGGAAGUCUUUAACUUCCAGUCCAGAAACGGUUUGUAUUUUUUGAGAAUGACAUCAAAUAAACGGAGAAAACUUGAUUGAUGCCUGUCUUUAUAUAUCGUAAUUGUCAGCUAAUUUUCACAUUUUUUUCCUUACGUUAAUAUAUGUCUUAUACAUAUCUUUUAUAAAUAUUUUUUUACAGAAACCUGAAAGGAAAUUUUGCAUUUCAGUACAUGCAGAAGGAGCAAUUAAGGUUGGUUUCAGGCCCACUAACUACCCUAGAACUGUUUGAUCCUUUUGUUUUAUCAAUUUUUGAUUUGCAAUCAUAAUAUGCAGGUGCUAAGUGUUAUUGAUUCAAACUGUCACAAUACGGAAACAAAAGAACCAAAGGAACCUAAAGUUGCUGAUCAGAAACUGGAGCUUGAGAUGAACUUUGCUGAAGUUAUCAACAUACACAUACCAUUCAUCGGGAUAUCUUUAAUAAGCUCUUCUCCCCAGGUGAACUCUCUAUGAGCUUUAGAUGAACUUUGCCUAAGUUAUCAAAAUACACUUGUUAAUCGUCAUUCAUUGGAAUAUAUUUAAUCCUACCGUCAUUUUUUUUCAUCGCUUACGGCUUAAGGGAAGUUUGUUUUACUAUACUUAUUUUUCUUUGGCAGGAAUUGUUGUUUGUUUCUGCCAAGGAGAUGACGAUCGUUGCCAUGCAGAGUUUAGAUCAGCAGCGAUUUACAGUUGAAAUACAAUCUAUGCAAAUCGAUAAUCAGUUCCCUGAUAGCCCACACCCUGUCAUGUUGUCGUUCGAGGGCAGUCAAAAGGGAAAAUCCAUGAAUUUUUUUAAGAGUAAAGAUACUAAACUGAGAUCAGCAAGUGACAAUCUUUCCAAUACCACAGAACCUGUGCUGCGGUUUGCUGCAGCUAAAUGGAGAACCAGAGAUGUCUCAUUUGUUUCCUACCAGUGUAUAAACAUAAGGUACUCCUUGCUCUUUGGUUACAUAUCAUUAUAUCUGUACUUAUAGUGACACUUUUUGUUUGUUGGUUGGCAGUGUAGCACCUGUUCGCCUUGAACUUGAAGAACGACUCGUAUUGAGCAUGAUUGAAUUUUUUAGAUCUGUUUCCUCUAGAAUAAAUCUUGGACACUUAGAGGAAAAUCUUGAGUUAAGUAUUUUAGGUGGUGCUACGGAUCUGUUAAGAGAAUAUGAAAAAAUCUCAAAGCACUUAUCGGACAAGCCCCUGGUGCAAGACAGUGAAUUGUUGCCUUCUGUUGUUCCAGUUGGUGCUCCAUGGCAACAGAUACACCUAUUAGCGAGAAAGCAGAAAAAGGUGCACAUUGAAUUGUUUCAGUUGACUCCUGUCAAGUUGACUUUCAGGUUAGCUCUUCUCUUUGUGGUCAUUACUGCAGGAAAAUAUGUAUAUCAACUUACCAUUGACAGACGUUUUCUGAUGUAGUUUUACAAGCACACCAUGGCUCAGUAGGAAUGAAUGUGGUUCGGAUCCCAGCACAGGUUUCAACAACACUACUGCGAUCCAGGUAGAGACACAUAUCGCUUAACAGAUUGAUCUCUUUUAUGAACAUUUUCUAUUUUUAUAGUGUUACUUAAUCCAGCCUCACAAUUGCUUAUUCAACAUAGCAGCCGUCUUUGCGUGUGUUUGUAACUUCAUUAUGCAUUGCAACUUCUUUACUAGAAUGGUAUAUACAAAAGAGCAUUUUUUCACUUUGGUUCUAUGGAUCUAUUCUACAAUAAUAACUGAUUCCCCACAAAAAGAAGUUCCAAUGUCAACUUCAGAAGAGAAAAAGGGCCUUGAAUGAGGUCAUUCUUUUUAACUAUAGGAACGCAUGAAUGAUUUUUGCUCAAUGUGCAACUACCAAAAUUGCCAUGGAUUGCAGACAAUGUCUCCCUGCUUCCGAAACUCUAAUGUUUAUGAUGUACAAUUAUAAGGUUGCUUAGUAAUAUUUUUUAGUAUGAAUAUAGAUUUAUCUCAAUGGUUCUUUUUUUCCAUCCACAUGCUUUUAGAUGUACGCAGUUCUCCUGCGUGUUCGAGAAAAAAAAAUGCUUUUAGAUAUUUGUUUGAUCUACUGGUAGUAUGUAUGAUCUGCAAAUUUGUUUUAGAAUGCAUUCUUUUGCCACUAAAUGGUGCCAUUUUGGUUGCAGAGAGGUCUUAUGGCCCUCUUAGAUGUUGAAGGAGUACCAGUUCACCUUGGAGAAAUAAUGGUGGAAAAUCUUAUGGCCAGUUGGCAAUCUGUUCAGGACAUUCUUGUGAGGCAUUAUAGCAGGCAAAUCCUCCAUGAACUUUACAAGGUAAAUGCUAGCAUCCAAAAUGGAACUGACUAGAAUGCAAAAUUUUAGCACGUAUUGAACAAUGUUUGAGUUUAGAAUGUGAGAUAUCUUAUCGCAUAAAGAAGACAUUAUUAAUUCAACCAGGGAAAAAAAUCUUGAGUGCUGUACCUGUCUGUGUGCAGCCUAGGGCUUAAAAUGUUGGUGACUCUGUAAUGAAUGUGGCAAACCUUACCUUUUUCCUGUUAAGCUUGAAAAGUGUCUCCUUUUCCAAAGUCUAUCUACAUGAAUUGGGAUCGACAUUUAUUAUGUUCUGCGGUUUAUUGCAGGUUUUAGGUUCUGCUGGCGUUAUAGGAAAUCCUAUGGGUUUUGCUAGGAAUGUUGGGUUUGGUUUAAAGGACUUCAUAUCUGCCUCAAGGAAAGGGAAAUUACAGGUUUGUAAAUGUGAAGUCUUAGCAGGAAUGUGCAUUAUUUAACCUUCCAUCUUAACAUCAAAGAUCUAUGUAUUGCUCUUUUUACAGAGUCCGGUUGAACUAUUAAACGGUUUAGCACAAGGUUCAAAAACUCUUAUUGGAAGUACAGUUUAUGCAGUCAGCAGCGCCACUUCACACUUCAGUAAAACUGCUUAUAAGGUAUUUAUGCUAAUGGCCAGUUUGAUCAUUAAAGGUGCAUUUCCUGGGAUCACUGCUAAGGAAUAAUUCCACUUUUCAGGGCCUUGUUGCCUUUACGUAUGAUGAGCAAGCUACUUCAAAAAUGGAAGAACGGGAAAGGCAGCUAGGUUUGCAUGGGGAAGGAGUACUGAAUGGGUUUCUAGAGGUAAAAGCCAUAUCUCUCUUGAUUGUGCAUUGUCAUCUGAUUUUAGCAAAUUUACAACCAAUGCCCCUUUGCACUUUGAAACUAAACCAUAGAUGACCUCAUUCUUGGGUCAUGAGGGCUACUUGAAAUGAAACUUAUCUUUCUACUUUAUUUUAUUUUUGCUUUUCACCAUACACCUCUUUGGACCUUUAUCUAAGCACCAUGUGUGUUCUGCACUGCAAUGAUUUCUGCAGGGUCUGACUGGGCUCCUCCAAUCACCAAUCCGGGGUGCUGAGAAACAUGGUCUUCCUGGGGUCAUCUCAGGUACUACGAUUCUAUUAAGCAUUCAUAUCUAUUUAUUAUUGUUUCCCAUAUUUGACCAGCUGCAUAUCUGUUUCUACAGGUUUAGCAAUGGGAACCGCUGGGCUUGUGGCGCGGCCUAUGGCUAGCAUUCUUGAAGCCACAGGCAGAACUGCCCAGAGCAUAAGAAACAGAAGCAACCCUCAUGAAUCCAACCGCUUGCGUGUUCGUUUCCCCAGGCCUGUUGCCAGAGAUCGUCCUUUGUUUCCGUACUCCUGGGAAGAAGCCAUCGGCAUAUCAUUGCUUGCCCGAGCUGAUGGUGGUAGACUAAAGGAGGAGACAUUUGUCAUGUGCAAAACACUCAAGGAGCCUGGGAAGUUCCUCGUGCUGACCGAGAAGCUUCUUCUGCUAGUCUCAAGCCCAUAUUUGGUGGAUCUAGGGUCACCUCAGUUUGUGGGUGUUCCUCCUGACCCUCAGUGGUCAAUUGACACGGAGAUGCACCUCAAGAGCGUUGUUCAUCUGGACAGGUCUCUGGAGGUUGUGAAUAUUGUUGGGAGCAAUGGAGAGACUUCGCCGAGGGACAAAAGAGGCGGCGCGAGAAACAGGGUCAUGAACUCGGCCUUUGUCCCCCUGUUUCACCUCAGCAUCGAGGUGCCAAACGUUGAGGAUGCAGAAGGCACACUGCAGGUGCUAGAGGCACUCAUCGACAAGGGGAGGGCACGGAGGUGGGAUAAGAACAUCCUACACCGAAGCAACAUCAGUUGAGGUCUUUAUGCGCACGCGACUUGUACAGUUUAUGCCAGAUGACAUCAUACAUGGGGGAGCUAGUGUGAUUUUGUAAGUAACCCAGUGUUUCAUAGGUGAUCCACCGUGGCGCAGCUGGACGCGCUUCGGUUUUUUGCAGACUAGUGUACACAUGUAGGUAUAGGAAAUUUUGUCGAAACACAUUUGUAAAUAUUUUGCGCGUGCAAAUGUCAACAGGCUUUUCUCUGGUCUCCUCUCUUUCGGUAUGUGUUUGCAUAUGCAUAUAGUUUUCGCACGCAGAAGGCACUGCUGGUUCCCAGACGAUCAAGGGCAACACAGCAAUAAACAAGUCGACUGUCGGGUAAAUUGAUGUACAGAGAAACCUAGGGAAACACAGCAAUUCCAGACGAUCUGAACGAACAGACGAAUUAAAUGUUCAAAUUGACGGUCAAUACAAACAAAGAUCAAACUGGAACAUAUAGUGAAGUAAACAGAAUAAGAACAGAGAUACACUGAAACAUAUAGUGAAGUAAACAGAAUAAGAACAAAGAUAAACUGAAACAUAUAGUGAAGUAAUCAGAAUAAGAAGCGGCAAGCCGAUCCAAACACAGCCAAUCAUCACAAGAUCAGAGGCAUCAGAACAAGAUCAGCAAGAAAUAAUAGACAUCCAAGAGCCUUUUAAGUUUGGAUCUCACUUUAGUUAACCAUAGACAUAUUUUAGUUAAUGGUCGUGUAGCUGAUAUACCAAGUUUUCGUUGCAAACCCUGAGAUAUUAUUACCACGAAGGAUAACCAACGAUCAAAACGUCUGGUUCGAAUUCUAUUGCUUCGUCCGAUCCGGGCAAAUUGCCAAAGCAUUUGAUCGGUUGACACAUUGCAAUAUAAAGGACUAGUAAAAAAAAUUCUAGAUAGGAAGUGGGUCGGUCUCAAAGCAAAUGAGUUGUUAGUUGUAGAAUAUUACUCUCGCCAAACUUGAACUUACCGAAAAAAAAGGAAAGGUUCAUAGAUUUUUUUUCCUUUUCUAGGAUCCUUUCCUUUUUUGUUAUUUCCUCGAUUUUCCAUACCUUUUGUUAUUUCCUCGAUUUUCCAUACCACAGUAAUUUGCUAUAAAGAAUUUCUAUUAAAUAAAGAUAUUAUUGCUGGAAUAAAUUGUUAUUUAAUUUGAUACAUUGGCAUCAUUGUGACUACACGUUGCGUCAAUACUGCGGUCGGUAACAAUUUGCACCUACGACUGCAGAAGAUCAUGCCCACACUACAGCCCUGAUGCUCCACUGCAAACGUAAAAUGAGCUUCGCGAUUCUUCAUCCCGGACACCAAAACAUACAUAAAUCCGCAAAGAACCAACGAUCGAAUUCUAUGUUCACAUACGAAAACGUCAGACUGAAACAAAGGUAAACGAAUGAGAAGCGCCAAGUCAACGCAAACAUAUCCAACCAUCACAAGGUAGCCAAGGUAUAGAACCAGAUUAGUAAAGAAAAAACCUGAGUUCCACCGCCAAGCCAAUCCAAACAUAUCCAACCACAUCUCAAAAAGAUUGGGCCUUUUAAGCUUGAACAAGAACAUAGAAACAAGUUUCACUCUAAUAAGAUGGUUUGCGGUUCAUCACAUAGCCAUAGCACCACAUCUCAAAAACUUCAAAACUUGAGUACUUGUAACGAAAGCCUAGAGACAUAACAUAAGAUAGUCUUGGACACCAUAAGUGAAUUUGCUAAUGGCUGGGCCUUGGGCUACUUAGUCGAACAGGCUGAAGCCCAUGUCAUCAUCAGACUCCUCCUUGGCCUCUUCCUUCUUCUCCUCAGCAGCCGGGGCAGCAGCAGCUGCAGCACCACCAGCAGGGGCAGCGGCAGCAACUGGAGCAGCACCACCACCUAGAAACAAAGUUCAACACACCAGUAAGUAUACAAUCUAUGUGAACUAGAGAAAAGAGUUGAAGAAAUUUCAUAAUUUGCUACCAGUUUACUAAAUAUACAUAGGAACUUAGAGCCAAAGAAGUAAUUGUCACAUGUAUCAAGUUUAACAACAAACAUAGGUAUUAACCACAGAAUGAUAAUAUAAAAUAAAUGAAAUUGAUAUAUUUACCGGCCCAAAUUGAAACUUACUCGCAUCCAGAAACAGAUAGAAUCAAACAAGGAGAGAACUACAGUUACUACGUGAUCGUUAAUCCAUGAUCCAUAUAUGAAUCGCUCAGUUACAUUAAAAAGGUAGUGAUAAUGUUAAUCAGCUGAGUACUAUGUUAACCUACCAGUGCAACGUAAUGAAACUAUUAAGAAUGUUACCACUAUUGCUCAAUUGAAAGGCAAAGAUUCAUAGAUACAGCAGGUAUCAUCAAAAAGAUCAAACAAUCUACAAGACCAUACAAGGUAUCCCUACAGCAAUUGCUAUCAACCAACACAUACAUCAGACAUCCACUUAGGAGCAUGAGAGCGAGGUAGGGGUUAUACCAGAUCCAACGGAGAGGAUGAGGUCCUCAACGCUGCGCUUCUCCAGGAGCUUGGCGAAGAGCGCGGGCCAGUAAGACUCAACCUUGAUGUUGGCGGCCUUCACGAUGGUCGCGAUCUUCUCAGCCUGGCAAAUCCAAACACCCAAGAAUCAUUCGACCGCCCAAUAGACGAAGAGGGAGAUUCAAUCAACCAACAAAGAGAGCAGAGAAAGAACGCACAGUGAUGGGGAUGCCAUCGUCGCUGAGGAUGAGGGCGGCGUAGGUGCAGGCGAUCUCACUGGACGACAUGGCGGCGGGCGGAUUCCUCUCACCGGAUGGAUCUGCGGUCACUGCGAAGAGAAACAAGAUGACGACGUCAGUACACGAUGCGCCGGCGCGGCGGCGCGAGAGCAAGGUCGCGAACCGGAGGAGUUGGCGGCGGCGCGUACCAGAGGGAAAGAGGCGGCGAGGAGGGUGGAGGCGCAGGAGGCAGGGGGCUUCUAGGGUUUGGGAGGAUGCGGCGUGGAUGGAAAUAUAUAGGGGGGUGGAGUAGCUAGGGUUUCGCUGGCGCGAGGAGUUUGGGCCAGCUGGGCCGUGUCGUGGGCUCUCGUUCCCUGCGUUUUGGUUGGUUUACUGGCCAUUCCAAUUUUCUGAAGUUUCAUCUAAAAGUUCCGAAAUAUUAUAUCGUACUCCAAACUCCAAUUAAAAAAAUUGAAAAAUAUAUGUAUCGUACUUCAAAGAGACUUUUGGCAGGGCUUUUGAACCAGUACAAUCUGUUACAAAAAAAACAGAAGAGAUGCAACUGAAGCCGAGAACUCCAAUUGGAAUACUACACCAAGGAUUUAUGUUAGAAUUAUGAUUGAUUAUUCUAACUGUAUACUCCUAUCCGACAAUCUAGGUCGUCUAUAAGUCAUCCUCAAUCUGAACUCUUCAUCACAGGAUUCAGACUGCGCUUACAUAUGAAAAAGAACCUGAUUUGCCAGUGGUUUUGUAUUGUAAUAUUUUGAGCUUCGCAUAGUGUUCUGCAAGCUAAUACUAUCUCACAAACAAAAUGAAUGUCGAGCUCUUUUCUAGAACAUGCCAAUUCACGUACUUCUUUGCAAAAGAGCUAGAAAGGUUUAAAUAAGUCGAGGAAGGACACAUCUCAGGAAAAUGCGACUCUGUACACCGUACACCAUGAGGCAACUAAUGAUCAUUAGGAAAUGGUAAGACUGCACAGAAACGUAUUGGCGACUAUGCGAGAAAAAUGUGAUGACCGCCAUUCACUAUGCGCGACUAUUGAGAACAACCAUCAAGAAGAAUGGAAGUUCAAAAAAAAAACAAAAUCUUAUAGACGAACAGCAAGAUCGAAAUGUAGAAUUCUUGUAAAAUUAGCUAUUCUGAAGGCAAUAAAAGUUGUCGGAACAAAUCCAAGGAUCAUAUCGCACUGGUAGUAAAAAAAACACUUUUUUCGGCAUUGCCCUGGCUUUUUUUUUUAAAAAAAAUAGAUCAACAUAGAAGGAGCUAGGUGAUUUUUUAUUAAGAAGAAGAAAAAAUAGGCAUCCAAAUUCGAGUUAGAGGGCACGAUCACACCUCCCACCCUAACCAGUUGAGUUUGUGGCUUUUCAAAGGUAUUUCACUACUUUUUAGGACAUUCUAGUGAUCGCAAAAUAUUAGCAUAUUAGCAUCAUAUAAUACCAUCAAAAUCUCAUCAAAAUGUGUAAUUAUUCUUGCAAGCCUUCUAGAUUUCCAUCAACCGAGAUCCAGGAAGGUUGCAACUGAACGAGGUCAUGUGGAGCUUGGUUAGCACUUAGUAGUUUCGAACGGUAGGAUCUGCUCCCCGGGAUUCGAGUCCUCAACUCGACACUGUUACUCGUAUUUUUCUAGAUUAUUUUAGGAUUUAACCAGCACUAUUCUUUUAGUGGUAGGCAACGUGCCCGUCAAUAGUGAGGCACUAGUGGUGACUUUGCCAAUUUCGAGGAUCUGCUGACUCAGUUUCUCGAAAGUGCUGAUAAGGGUAGGAUUGUGUACAGUAUUCAUAGCGCUGAGUGUGCAUGUAUUUAUUUGAGGGUUCGAAAAAAAAAGUACCAGGCUUGCAACAAUGUUGGGAGGAAGGCAGGUAAAGAUGAAGCAUGGUGUCAACACACCUAGCAGUACGGUGGGAGAGCCAACCGAGAUGGAGGCGGUGGCGUUAAAAUAUGGAGAUGGUGGCUUGCUCUUUCUCUUUGCAUGGCAAAGUUCUUGGUUGUUUUUUUUAAUAAUUAUAAUAAAGAGAAUUGCCCAAGAACUACUAGCCCAAACCCAACAAAGAAGGAUGGGCCCAGCCUACUAGUCUGUCGGGUCACGGCCCAAGAAAACCGGACUACAACUCGUACGGAAACACGCAUAGCCAUGUACGGCCCAAGGAUCGGGACCCCGGACUGUCUGGCGCACGCACACCUGACUACAACUCGUACGGAAACACGUCUACUUCGUCUACUACGUCCGUCCGUGUACGUGCAGAGCUAUCGCGUCAGCAGCGCGCAAGCUCGGCGGCUGCAACGAUGGCGGUGAGCAGCAGCAUCGCCGACUUACCCGUCUCCCUGCAGCCGCUCAGCAGGCACCCCAUGGUCGGCGCCGCCGGCCUCCGGGACGACGGCCGCGUCAUGUUGCGUAAGUGGCUCGACUUCUGGCCCAACUCCGGCGACCUCGUCCCGGCGGAGGAGUUCAGGGACGGCUUCGUCCUGAAGGUGGUGUUCUCGGCGAGCCCCGAGCAGGAGCGCUACUUCGCCGUGGUGAUCGGCGGCUUCCACAAGUACGCCAUGUACGCCAGGGCCGGCGCCGCCGCGUGGGAGACGCUGCGCGACGCGCGCGGGAACCCGGUGUACCUCGAGCACGACGCCGUGCACGUCGAGGCCUCGAGGGGGGCCGGUUCCUGGCCGUGACGCGGGUCCACGGCAAGGUCCUCGAGUUCGACCUCGCCGGCUGCGACAACGACGGCGACGACCACGGCGGUGGUGACGACGAGGAGGAGGACCGUGGGCACUCUCCUAGGGUGAGCUUCUUCGCGGAGCCGUUGGCUCUGACCGAGUCGUUCGCCUACUCCGCCCGAGACGGCUCGGGGAUGCAGUUGGAAAACCACCUCGUCCUCAUCGACGGCGAGGUUUACCAGAUAUGGGCGGCGCUGGUGGUCGUGCCACCGGAUGAGGAGGAUGAAGAAGAAGACUCCGGCGAGGCAAUGACGCACCGCCAUCACAUCGAGGAGGCCGGCGUCGUGAGGUUCGACCCGGAGAAAAGCACGUGCUGGACGGAGGUGGCGGAUCUCCGCGACUGGGCCGUGCUCGUCGGGAGGAACGAGACGGUGGCCGUGCGCGCCGGCGACGUGCCCGGGGUGCGCGGCAGCUGCGUCUACUUCAUCGACAGCAAGCUGGACGGGGUGGUCUGCGCGUUCGACUUGAGGAGCGGGCAGGCGGAGGUUUUGGGUGGUGACGUGCUACGAGAAGCGUGCUCGUCGGCGAUGGCGCCGCCCGGGUCCAGCUCGCACCCGCCGGUUUGGUUCCUGCCGUCGUUGAAGUAGGCCGCGCAGCUGCAGGUUACUUGCAUUGUAUCUCUCUGGUACACGGAGUAGUCAAUUUCAGCGGAUGAUCAGCUGUGUUGCAACAUGGGAUUUUCUUUUAGUUAGUGAAAACAAGAAGGGAGAUGCAUUCUUAUGUUGUCUGAAAAUUAAACAAUUUAUAGUCCAUGCAUUUUGGCCCUCAUACCAUAUAGGAGAAUCUAAUGGAGUGCCUUGUUCAACAUUUUGGGACAAAUGGGUGUGCUCCAGAAUUCGCUGCACACUUUUAUAUGAAAACUGACUGAUUGUUUGAAAAGAUCAAGAUGUUUGUUUGAAGUCUUGAAGAGGAGUAGUAAAUCACCAAAUCAGCUUAACUAUAAACAUGGCAUUUUUGCAACUCGGUAAUUACAUCAUGAUCUCCGGAGUACUAAAUGACAUUUUUGCCUGGUGAGCGCGGCGGCAGGGAAGGCGAGUGACGGCGUCCCAUGGGCCAUGGACCGAGAUACUGGGCUGGGCCUGUUGCUGUGUGUUUCCGGGGGCCAGUUUGUAGGCCAGUUUGAGCCCAGCAGAUCACAAUACCUUUUCAGUUACCCAUCAGUUUUGAAGAAGAGAAUCAAAGCAGAGUUUGUUGCAGUUCCGAUCCAGUAGCCAAGCAAAACCAAUGCAACCAUGCAAGGUAGCACUACACUACACUGUGCCCGGUGUCCGCGGAUGCACUCGCCCUCUCGGGACAUGUGGAUUGGUCCAAGCUCCCAUCGCAUCCAGGAUAUGUGGAUUGGACAAGAAAAUCUUUGCACCCGUGCACAACACAUUUAGCCAAGCUGACCCAUCGGAAUCGAUCGGAAGUGAAGUGCAGCACACCCUCCGCUGCGCCCUGUCGCCGAAAGCGGGGCGCAUCGCUUAUCCCCUCCAGCUUUCUGCUCCCUCUGGCCACCGGGCUCUGCUGCCUCUCACGCCGCCGGUCACGAAUAUUCCACAUCAGGAUUCGUUUGCAAGAUAAUGUACCGCACGACUCCAAAUUCGAAACCCAGCUUUUGAAUCAACAUGCAAAUUCGGAAACCCGUUGCGCGGCAAAGCCGGCAGGUCUCUAGAAUGGCCAGGAGACGAGUUAUCCCACGAACGAGUUGUCCCACGUGUCCCCGCCACGUGUAGGGCAGCAUGGCGCGGCGAGCGCGCCGCGUUCCGGGUCUACCUGCGCCGGAGAAGACGACGCGGGCCGCCGCGUGCAGGCAUGUCGCUCUCGGCCGCGGUCCAUGCAGAGCCGGGUCUAGGCGUGCCCGCGCUUGGUCCUGAUGCCUUUGCCGCCGCCUCUGCUCUUGCCUUCGUGGCUUCGUGGCUCCGUCUGGGCUUUGGGCCGCCGGACGAACCAACUGUUGCUGUGCCAGUUGAAAAGGAGGAGCUCUCGCCUCUCGUCAGGUCAGAGCACGGAAUAAACGCAACAACUUUCCUCGUCAUCUUCUGCUUCGCGUAGAGCCCCUCGCAGUGUCUUCUUUUCGCAUCGGUGCCCCUGCUUUGAUUCAGGACCACCUUCUUGUUUUUUUUUGAGGUAAGUCAGGACCUUCUUCCCAAAGGUAGGAUGCCUAAGGUUUUGUAUCAAGACACACCGAAACCCAACUUAAUGAGCUGUGACACUGAUAACCUGAAUGAAAUUCGUGCGGGCUCAAACAUUUAACAUGAAUUAUAGCAUUCCAAGUACCUACAGAAGCCGUGAUAAGAAAUGACUGCCAUCACUACCUGCGUGUAUGCAGCAAAACACGCCAUGUUUUUACUGUAAAAGUUCGUUGUAAUCAUGACAAGAAACGACUACCACCACGUAUGCAGCAAAACACGCCAUAUUUUUACUGCAAAAGUUCGUUGUAACCAUGACAAGAAACGUUAACUGCUCCCAUUUAUUCGUUCAACAAAAAUUGGCACGUUUGACCGGGUGACUGUGCCCUUUUGUCCGUGCAGCAAAACAAGCCGUGUUUCACUGGAAAUGGUCGUUGUAACCAUGACAUUAAGAAGUAACCGUCCCACCUUUUAUCCAUGUAGUGAAACUUGCCACAUGUUGGCUAAAUACGAUCGUUGUAAUCACGACAUGAAGCAUUAACCGUCCGCGCCUUUUAUCUGUAGCGGAACAUGCCACGUGUUCAUAAAAAUGAUUGUUUUAACCAUGAAACGAGGCGAUAAUACCUUGACUUUAGCCCGUGCAUUGAAACACGCCAUCUCUCGGCUUCUUUUCUGCAGCCCUACGUGGGACUUGAAUGCCACAUUCACGCUGUCUCAUGUAAUCCAAACUCCCACUUCGAACAUCCAUAACAUGAGGGGGAGAAAAAUGAGGCACGCGCGAAGCUUCAGUGUAAGAUCUUAUUUUUAUGCUCUGAUAUACAAGUCCAUCAUGACUCGCCGUAUUAUAAGAGAAAAUUAUUAAUAUUCCGUUCCAACGAAAAAAAUACCCUCAUCCAAAAUAAGUGGCAGUCCAAUUAAUUCUUGGCUUCGUCAUGUCCUUUUGUUCAUGCAGCAAAACACACUACUUCACCGGAAAACGGUCAUGGUAACCAUGACAUGAAGCAGGAAUUGUCCCACCUUUUUCUAUUCGUGUAGCAAAACGCGCAUGUUCAGUAAAAAUAGUCAUUCUAAUAACCAUGAAAUGAAACAAUAAUCCCUUGACUUCAGCCUAUACAUUGAAACACGCCAUCUCUCAGCCUCCUUUUAUGCAGCCCUGUGGGAUUUUAAUGUAUGUUCACGUUUGUCUUUUGCGAUCCAUUAAGAAAGGUUAUCCCAUAGAUGGCAUGUUAUCCAAACUCCCAUUUCGAACAUCCAUAACACGAGAGGGGAGGGGGAUAAGGCACGUCCAAGCUUUGGCGUAUAAAGAAGUUCAGAAUGUGUUUAACCCUCCAUCAUAACUCAUUAUAUUACAAGAGAAAAUAUACCACUCCAGCGAAAAGACACCCUCAUCCAAGAAAAGUGGCAGUCCGGUUAACUCCUGUCUUCAUCGUGCCAUCUAUGGCAACACUAUGUGCAAUGUCGUGCCACUUCAGUGCAACGCACCGGGCAAUAUAGCAAUUAGUUAGUUGCAGCCAUUAGUGAAGUUGCAAAUAAGCCCUCGCCGUUGGGAGGUGAAUCGGGGAGCCCCCGAGGGGUUUCCCGCGAAAUAGCAGGCCGGCGGGCAAUGGGAGGCGAGGACCGAGAAGGGAACAGGCGCACGAGAGGGGGAGGGAGGAGAGGGAAGGAGGCAGGCGACACCGCCGUACCGGAGGCCAGAGCGCCCAAAAAAGGCAAAGCGGAAAAGCAUUGGGAAAUCACCCUCCCCCCUUCUUCUCCUCUCUCUCUCUCUUCCCCCCGCGACCCACCCGAGCUGCAGAGAGAGAGAGAGAGAGAGAGAGGGGCUGGCACAGGGUCAGGCGCAGGCGCAUCUCCCCUUGCCGCCGUCCUUGCUCUGCUCCUCCGCCUGCGCCGGUCGGCUCUCUGCUCUGCCGGCGCGCGCAACAACCCACCCCGCCGAUCGAUCGGCCAUGCGGGCGUAGCCACCACCCACCCACCCNNNNNNNNNNNNNNNNNNNNNNNNNNNNNNNNNNNNNNNNNNNNNNNNNNNNNNNNNNNNNNNNNNNNNNNNNNNNNNNNNNNNNNNNNNNNNNNNNNNNNNNNNNNNNNNNNNNNNNNNNNNNNNNNNNNNNNNNNNNNNNNNNNNNNNNNNNNNNNNNNNNNNNNNNNNNNNNNNNNNNNNNNNNNNNNNNNNNNNNNNNNNNNNNNNNNNNNNNNNNNNNNNNNNNNNNNNNNNNNNNNNNNNNNNNNNNNNNNNNNNNNNNNNNNNNNNNNNNNNNNNNNNNNNNNNNNNNNNNNNNNNNNNNNNNNNNNNNNNNNNNNNNNNNNNNNNNNNNNNNNNNNNNNNNNNNNNNNNNNNNNNNNNNNNNNNNNNNNNNNNNNNNNNNNNNNNNNNNNNNNNNNNNNNNNNNNNNNNNNNNNNNNNNNNNNNNNNNNNNNNNNNNNNNNNNNNNNNNNNNNNNNNNNNNNNNNNNNNNNNNNNNNNNNNNNNNNNNNNNNNNNNNNNNNNNNNNNNNNNNNNNNNNNNNNNNNNNNNNNNNNNNNNNNNNNNNNNNNNNNNNNNNNNNNNNNNNNNNNNNNNNNNNNNNNNNNNNNNNNNNNNNNNNNNNNNNNNNNNNNNNNNNNNNNNNNNNNNNNNNNNNNNNNNNNNNNNNNNNNNNNNNNNNNNNNNNNNNNNNNNNNNNNNNNNNNNNNNNNNNNNNNNNNNNNNNNNNNNNNNNNNNNNNNNNNNNNNNNNNNNNNNNNNNNNNNNNNNNNNNNNNNNNNNNNNNNNNNNNNNNNNNNNNNNNNNNNNNNNNNNNNNNNNNNNNNNNNNNNNNNNNNNNNNNNNNNNNNNNNNNNNNNNNNNNNNNNNNNNNNNNNNNNNNNNNNNNNNNNNNNNNNNNNNNNNNNNNNNNNNNNNNNNNNNNNNNNNNNNNNNNNNNNNNNNNNNNNNNNNNNNNNNNNNNNNNNNNNNNNNNNNNNNNNNNNNNNNNNNNNNNNNNNNNNNNNNNNNNNNNNNNNNNNNNNNNNGUCAACGUCUCGUGAUGAACUGAUGAUGAUGAUGAUCCGGUUUGGUCUUCCAUUCCAUGGCUCGCCCGGCCGCUGCAGAGAAGGGGGGAGCAGCAGGAGGGUUCGGCGGCCCACGGCCACCCCGGCAGGCGCCGGACCAACAGCCGCACCAGCAUGGCGCAGCGGGACGAGGUCAUCCGCCGCACCGUCUACGUCUCCGAUAUCGAUCACCAGGUCGGUCAGUCGCACGGAUCCGCACCCUCCCCGAUCCAUUUCGCUUGGUUCCGGCGUUUAAUCGCAUCAAUUUGAAUUUUUUUUUUCUCUUCCGCUUCGAGUCUACCUACUACCUAUUGAUCGAUCGAUCUCUGAUGCCAAUUAGCUUUUUUUUGGUGCACUUGUCGUGGUGAUUAUACUCCCGUUAGAUUUGGGUUCGGUCACUUCUGUUCAUGCGUGCUCCUGACCAGGAGGAUGAGAUCACGAGAUCAGAUGAUGCUGUGGGAUGGCCCGAUGGGGCGGGGGGAUGGGUAGGAGCAGAGGUUGGGAUGUAGCGCACGCCACCACGUACACGUAGGUGCUGCUGCUGCUACGAGUAUGAGCCAUCCUUUUCUGUUGCUUUGGUAGAUUUGGAUGCCACUUUCUGCUAGUAUGUUUUGCCGCUGCUGGGCUAUUUGUUCCGUGCGGAAUCCGGAAAGUUGUAUGCCCUGUUUUGCCUUUUAUGUGCUUGGCUGUGCGGCAGGGAGCCUUUAGAAUAGUUCCUUCUCUGAUGAAUGUGCUUCAUUUUUUCUUGGUUUCCCUGGUCACGUGCUUCUGUCUGCAGCAUGCAUGGCGUUUGUGUCAUGGCAUUUCCUGUUUAUCAUGUUACUGGUUCUAAUAUGGACGGUCUGAUCACCUAUAUGGUAGGAGGCGUUUCUUUACUAGGCAGUGGAACCUUCAAGAGCCCUGCUUUGAUGUUCCUUUUAUGGAGUGACACCAGGAAAGGACGAUAAGUAACCAGACCAUGCCCUGUUGUAGAGGCUGCUAGAAAUGCUAGGUUCCCCUGCUCUUUGACUUCCUUCAGUUAUUCCAAAAUUCCAAAUAUCAUUGAGUGUAAUUCAGAAGUUCUCCUAUUUGGUGGAGUAGCUAUAGGCCAUGUUUCACUGAUUCCUGUCAAUGUGUGUGCUCCAUUGUCUCCGUUGCUUUUCAUGUAUGCCGUGGAAGAUCUUGACUUUAAAAGCAUGCAAGUCAUAUUGAUGUCCCUGCUUGUUGUACAGCUGGUAUCUGUUUGACUAUUUGUAAUAAUCGAUAUCAAUGUACAUUCAUAGAUUGGAGUCAUACCUCUCAUAUUUCCAUAUUAGAAAGGAAUGACCAGGCGUCUAGGCCUAUAUAAUUAAUUGUGCUUGAGUUGCUAUUGCAAGGUUUAUGACUGCAUUAUGGUCUGCAGUGCAUGGCUCUCUGUAUUCCGUUACAUGUAUUUGUCCUUGUAGGAUUUACUAGUUAGAACAAUAAAGAUGCUAUCUUUGCAAAACACAACCUGCCAUGUGACAUGGUCGCUUUUUGUAGGAAGAAAUACUCUUGCUCAUUACAUAGAGCAAGUUGGUAUAAGUGGAUAUCUUCUUCUGCGUCGUUGCUAGGUGUUGUUUUCUUGUGAUUUUACUGGAGAGAGAGUUUUUGGUACUAUGCAUGCGGAAUGCCCCAUAUUUCACCAGCCUUUGUUGGCUCGCAUUGUACGGAAACAAUACUAUCUUCUUUUCUACAACUGUUAAUAGGUUUGCUUGAGUUUUAGCAUUUAGCUGGUGCAAAAUCUGGUUCUCUAAUAUUAUUUAAAGUCAUCGUUGAGGCCUAAUAAUAUUGAUUUCUUGUUGUCGGUGGGUCCAUGGGGUCGCCUAGAUGAUCAAGAUCACAUCUUGUCUUUAGUAGUCUCCCACCUUCGCUAUUGCUCCUGGUAUAAAGCUUUAAUGGGCAAUACCCUGUUCUUUCUUAUUAUGGAAAAGGAAGGCCCAAUGGGACCAAAAAAAAAAAUCUUUUGCAAAAAUCUUGCAUGUAGAACACAGAAACCUUUUGCAGUGUACAUAUUUUAGUCGUACAUAUUUCAGUCUGGCCCACUGGUAUGACGAGUGAGUUUAUUGUUUGCUGAUGUAGUUAAUGAGCUAUUUUAUGUAACACUCGAGUAAUUGUGAAUCAGUCAACGUUUCUCAAUACUAGUACAGAGUGUUGCGGUUGAAGUUUUGUAUGUCUGUGUGCUUUUUUUCUCAUACCGAUAGUAUACCUUUUUGCCAAUUGAAGUUGAAAAGGUUAGGUAAUGUAUUAGGGUAAUCUUUGCCAAGAUGUUGGAGCAUAUUCUAUAUGUUAGCUUCUGCUUUUCUUUGUUUAAUUGACUGUUGCAGUGGCAAUUAUAUUUAGUUUAGUUUCUAAUUUCUCCUUUUUUUUGUUUAUUAGGUCACUGAAGAAAACCUGGCAGCGCUAUUUAUAAACUGUGGACAGGUACACUCUAUGGGACAAUUUCAAACCCCCUUACAUAUAUUGGCGCUCGCUAUUUGUUUUUUAAUGCAACCGUGCAUAAUCUUGGAUAUUCCUUCUGAAGGUUGUGGACUGUCGCAUGUGUGGGGACCCAAAUUCAGUACUUCGUUUUGCUUUCAUAGAGUUCACUGAUGAGGGUAAUAAUCCAGCCAUAAUUGAAGUUUCUUAGUUUGGUGUAAUUAGUCAACUGUUCACUGGUUAAUGAACAUCCCUGUUGCAGAGGGUGCCAGGACUGCUCUUAAUCUGUCAGGAACUGUGCUUGGAUAUUAUCCUGUGAGGGUUCUGCCAUCAAAGACUGCCAUUGCGCCAGUAAACCCAACAUUUCUGCCCAGGGUAAGCAAACCUUUCACAAACGAACAUAUUUGUCAUAGGCUCAUGGUUCAAGGUUCAUACUGUGGUCUGCUGUGAUCUUAUCUCUAAAAAGUUUACCUCUUUGAUGUGAUAUGCAGUCUGAUGAUGAACGUGAAAUGUGUGCAAGGACUAUUUACUGCACAAACAUUGACAAGAAGGUUUGCUACCAUAUAAUUAUGAUAUCCUUAGGUAUUUCUUUCUGUUAUGUUUCUAUUUUGAUAUAUCCACUUACUGCAGGUCACUCAGGCAGAUCUGAAAUUGUUCUUUGAGUCUAUAUGUGGAGAGGUUGGUCAUUCUUUACUUCAAACUUCUUUUCCUUUGUUUACAGUAUGUAUUGCUAAAUGCCAUGUAGAAAAGACAAAUCAAGUAGCAUGGUGUUCAUUGGCUCAUGGCAAGUCCUGUUACAGGUCUUUCGUCUGAGGUUGCUUGGUGAUUACCAUCAUUCUACUCGCAUCGCCUUUGUGGAGUUUGUGAUGGUUAGCUAGCAUACCUUUGUCUUUUUCAUAUUUUUGCAAAAGUUGCAUAUAGUAUGCAUUUUUAAUGUAUAUUUUUUUAGCAUUACUGGUGGCUGAGAACUUCCAAGUACUAAAAUGCUAAAGAUAUGUUCCUUGGGUAGCAUGCCAUAACUUCCAAAUACUAAAAUUUGUGUUGAAACUUAAAGUGGUCCUAGUAAGACUGUUGAUACUUGUGCCUUGUCAUCAUGUUUAGCGCACUAGCUUGGUCUUACUGAGCAUUGUCAUCAGUUUUGGAUGUUUUCUCACUACCAUCUGCUAUAUAACUGAACCUGUUCCGUUGCACUGUCUUAACUGUACUGAACCUUCUGAUGCUGGUAUUUUGUGAAUCCAAAGUUCAUUGAUUCAAUAUGUUUGUAAAAUCUAGGUCCUUUCUAAUGGUGGUGCUUCUUGUAAUAUAUAAUUGGUGUUUCCCCUAAUUUUCAAGACUUAAACCCCAUCUUACGAUCCAUUUGUUUCCUACUGUUCAGGCUGAAAGUGCUACCGCUGCUCUCAACUGCAGUGGUGUGAUUCUGGGUGCCUUGCCAAUAAGGUAAUAAAUCUCUGAUCUUUCAAGACACUUUGCAAGGGUAUAGAGCUCAACAUGGAUUAACAGAGUAGGGUAUUGUGGUAUUUCAGGGUGAGCCCAUCGAAGACCCCUGUGCGUCCCCGCGCGCCUCGCCAGCUGAUGCACUAGUGUUGUAGGUACAGGAGGUGCUGAUGGCACUGCUUAUAUAUAAUAGAGAUAGACAUAUAUGAAAGGGGGGAAAUCGCAAUAUGUGUCAUUUUCUUUUUAAGUUAUGGGCUCGGCCUUUUUUUUUCUUCACUGUACCACCGUGAGUGAGUAAAGUAUCUACGCUCGGAGCCGGAGAGGGCAAAUUCCGGGUUGAGGUUGGGUCCUUUUACCAUGCACAUAGCGGAGAGCUUCUUAGAAGGAAGCAGGGUUGAUCUGCUCUUGUCCUUGAUGCAACAAGGCGAAACUCCUGGACUUUUACCUGUGUUCAGUUGUUUGCUGUGUCUUGGUUGCUACUCAAAAAAACUUGGGGAUUACUUGGAGAUUAUGAACGCUUACCGUUGUGCCCUACCUUAUGCUUCCAUGUCAGUAUGUGUGUUUGUUGUUGUUCUGGUGCGUGCUGCUCUGUUCCGAUUUCUGUGUGUGACGGCUUGGAUGUUGUUAGCUUUACCAAUGGGUAUUUUUAUCAUGCAUUUGUAGUUGUUUGAGACCUGAUCAUGUGCUGUUUGAACUGCAAUUAGUAGAUACUGGGUGGUUACAUUACUUUAGUCUGGGUCUAUGUUAACCUGCCCUUAAUUUCCCCCUGUUCUGCUUGUUAAAAGAGUAGCGAUGAACAUUAGUAGUUGAAGCUUACGGUAUCUCUGUUUGAAAGCAAACCGUGCGUCCAUUUAUCGCCUUGAUGAAUCUGACUGCUGGAUGAUUGGGACCAAAGCUUCACGGCCCUGCCAACAGUAACCAUCCAUCACUUGCAAAACAAAAUCGAUGGCUGUUUUUUCUUUUGGUCCUUAUUCUGACAUAACACUAAAAUUCAGUGCACUAGAUGCUUAAAUUCAGUAUCUCCCUGAUUGCUGUGGCUCCAAGGAAAAAAAACAAUUCAGUUCACGAUCCAUGACCUCUGCAUUCUCUGCACGUCCGUUCAUCCAUCCUCUUCUCCCAUCCCAAAGAAAAGAUCACCUGGAUUUCUUCUCCUUGUUCUCUCCAUCCAUGACCUCUGGCUCAGCCGCUCAGCCCCUCGCCGAUCUAUCCGUUUGCCUCGGAUCUCGGUCAUGUGCUUACCUGCCAGACUGCAUUAGCAACCAGCAAGCUCCGAUUUUUACCCCCUUGCAGAUCAUCAUGUAAUUCAGUUAUUGUCAGUUCAGUUGCAUUGUCACAUUCUUCCUUCUUUAUUCAGUUCAGCUGCCAUGUACAUACUACAGUAGCUAAUUAAGCAGCAGCAGUAUGAAUUAAAAGACGUCCUAUUUUGUAUUGAAGGAGCACUUCUCCAGUUCCUUUCUUAAUCAAAUAUGCUUCUGAACACAGUAUUUGCUAAGUUCUUCAUUGACUGCUAUCGGGCUCAGGGUCCAGUCAUGCAGGUGUGGUCUCACUUUCAGAUGUUUGUGUUGUGCUGUGUGAUCUGUUGGUGCAGGUUUCAGGCGCCUCUGCAAUCAGUUGCAACCAAGAUUUAGAGGCUUCGAUUUUGGAGCAUUUUUUGAGCUUACCCAAUGUUUAGCAGUAGCAGGUAAAGAGAUGUUUUAUGUGCUGUGACAACAUAUCUGCUAGUCUGAAUAAUGCUCCCACGGAUCAGAUCCUCAAGGCUUCGUUUGGCUGCUAGGGGCAGUGCAGCAUUCUGUUUUCGCAAGUGGAGAGAUGGCAAUUAAGUUGGCCAUGGCCAGUGAAAUGUGGGUUUCUUUUUCUAGAUCAUUCAGACCAGUUUGAAAAAGAUCAUUUGGCCCAUCCAUUUAAUUUUUCAAUAAUACCUAGCACGCAUAAAGUCAUAUCAAAUUCUGAAGCAAUGGAAACUAGCAUUACCAGCAGCUUGAGGCUUGCAAAUAGCAUGUGAGAUCGUGGAAAGAAAAUUGUUUGUUAUCAAAUAGCAUGUGAGGCUUGCAAAUAGCAUGUCAGAAGAAAUAAUCAGGAUGUCAAUGCUGAAAGAAAAUAGAGCAAGGAAACAUUUCAACGACGGAUCUUCCUAGUAGGUAGUUACACAGGCUCCGGCCACCGCGUUCUGCCGCUGUCCUGUCCAGGAGGAUAUGGAGUGCACGCCGGCGGCGAGGCUCUCCACAAUCGCCGCGGAUGCUUAUAAAUCGAGCGCCUACCGCCGAAUAAUGGGGCGAAUGUUUGCUUUGGAUGAUCCGCGUCGGAGCUUCACGAUUCAGACCGGUGGCGGCCGCCGGCGGACGGAACAGAGCCGGAAGCGCCGGCCCAGACCAAAGCAGGGGUUGAUAUGAAAAUAUUUGGAUUGCGAUCCAAUAUAGGGGGUUAUCUGUAAAAUUAAGGGGUACAUCCGCAAAUAGUCGGAUCGAGAUUAAUAAUCGCGAUCCAAAUUAGGGGUUAAAUGUAAACCUCAGGGCCAAACUGAAAAUAAUUGGGGGGCGGCGAGCAUGGCAUCCGCCGCUCGCCGGCCACCGCUGACCUUGCCGCCGUGCGUCCCGCGGCCCAGCUUGCUGCCAGCAGGCGGCGAUGAUCAUAGCAUCGGCAUGUCCAGCUUCCAUGUGCGGCGUGCCGGUGGCUCUCGUGUUCUCUGUUGAAUGUGAAUGUAAAAUGAAUAGAGAUUUGGGAACUCUUUAAUGUUUAUUGAUCUCUUUGGAUUAUAUACAAGUGAAGAGUCGCGUUGUAUGGAUGUGACUGUUCGGCAAAAAGUAAUUGUUCAAUGGAACAAUCUACUAACAAAGGGACAUGUCCUUCGUAGUGCUAACUGCUUAUACUAACUAACUGCUAAUCCUCUUUCUCUGUUGAUUGAUGAGAUCACCGAGUAUAGAGAGGUGUCUGUUAGGAACAGACACACCGUUUCGUAACACUCCCCCUUAAUCGAAUCUUCUUUGAGAUCAAUGUAGAUGUAUCUUGGAUUCCACUAGAAAAAUCCCGUGGGAAAAAUAUGAGGAAUAUGUAUGUACAAAUACACUAUAAAACUCCUUUAAACCUUAUAGGAAAAUAAGAAGAAAAUAGCAUAUAUGAGUGUGAUUUAAAUAAAUCACCAUGUCAUUGGUAUCCCAUUAAAAAUCCAGCGGGAAAAAUAUUGGAGAUACGACAUAUAGAUUACCCCCCAAAACAUUUUAGAAAAAAUAUGAGGAGUAAUAUAAAUUGAUAUGUUGCUAAAACUCCUGCAAAAAUCCAGUGGAAAAAUUAGGAGAAAAUAUGAUAAAAUAUUAUUGGUAUUGCCUCUUGAUAACUUACAUGAACCUUUUAAGGGAAAAAUUAUGGAUAAGUUGUGAGAGCAAUUUGUGUCUUUGAUAUUUUCCAAAAAAAAACCCGGUGGGAAAAAUAGGAAAUAUGACACAUGCUUAUGUUAAUAUUACCUCAUUAAAAACUAGAAACCUUGUGAGUAAAACUGGUGAAAGAAAAGAGUUUAAUAUGAUGCUGGUAUAUAGGUUAAUAUUUAGGAGAUAUCUCCCCCUGAUUCUGGCAAAUCUCGAAGUCGUCACAUACCAAUUCCAUGUACCAAUUUUUGAAAUACAGAAGUUGGUGAGGACUUAGUAAAUAGAUUAGCGAGAUUAUCACAUGACUUGAUUUGCAAGAUAUUUAUUUCCCCGCUUUCUUGUAAUUCAUGGGGAUAAAACAGUUUAGGAACAAAAUGCUUAGUGAUAUUGCUCUUUAUGUAACAUGUUUGCAUCUGUGUAACACAAGCGGAAUUAUCUUCAUAGAUAAUUGUAGGUGAUUCAAUUGAACCAAUACCAUAUGACUGUUGUAUGUGGUUAAUCAUUCUGCGAAGCCAUACAUUUUCUCGUGAUGCCUCGUAUAGAGUAAUAAUUUCAAAAUGAUUAGUAGAGGUUGUUGUCAUAGUUUGCUUAGAAGACUUCUAUAAAAUAGCUGUACCUCCAUGUAGGAAUACAAAUUCUGUUUGGGAUUUUCCGUUAUGAGGAUCAGAUAAGUAACCAGUAUUAGUAUAACCAAUCAUACUAGGAUUAUGAUUUUUCUUGAAGAAUAAACCAAGAUCCUUUGUACCAUUAAGUUAUCUAAGGAUACACUUUGCUCCCGUCCAAUGACAGCGAGUUGGGUUUGCACUAUGCCUAGCCAGUAAGUUCAUUGCAAAUGUGAUAUCAGGCCUAGUGCAAUUUGCAAGAUACAUAAGUGCGCCAAUGACACUGAGAUAUGGGAUUUCUGGUCCCAACAUGUUUUCCCCAAUAUCCCGUGGUCUAAAUGGAUAUUUCCCUAUUUCUAAGGAACGAACAACCAUUGGAGUUUUAUUAAGGUAUGAUUUAUCCAUAUUAAAUUUCUCCAAUAUUUUCUGGAUAUAGCUUGAUUGAUGCACUAAAAUUCCUGAAGGAUGGUGCUCAAAUUGUAAGCCUAGGCAAUACUUGGUCUUACCCAAAUCCUUCAUCUCAAAUUCCAUCUUUAGAUGUUUGCGUGCUUCUUCUAUAUCCUUUGGGCUGCCAAUGAUAUUUAAAUCAUUAACAUACACGGAUAUAAUACAAAAUCCCGUUCGAGAUUUCUUAAUGAAAACACAUUGACAAACAUCAUUGUUAGUGUAUCCUUUCUUUAGAAAGAAUUCACUCAGUCGGUUGUACCACAUUCGUCCCGACUGCUUCAAGCCAUAUAAUGACUUUUGUAGUUUUACACAAUACAUGUUGCGAUUUGCGUUUGGAUUCGGAAUUUGGAUUCCAUCGGGAACCUUCAUGUAUAUGUCCGAAUCAAGUGAUCCAUAUAGAUAUGCUGUCACCACAUCCAUUAACUGCAUAGAUAGAUGAUUUUGAACUGCCAAUGAUAUUAAGUAUCGGAGAGUAAUUCCACUCAUUACUGGAGAAUAGGUUUCAUUGUAAUCAAUGCCGAGUCUCCGCGUGAACUCUUGUGCUACUAACCUCGCUUUAUAUCUCACCACCUCAUUGUUCUCAUUCCAUUUUCGGAUGAAAACCCAUUUAAAGCCUACAUGAAAGACUUUGGAAGGUGUAGGUAUUGCAGAUGUGAAUACCCCUCUUCUAGUGAGCGAGGCUAUCUCAGCUUGAAUUGCUUCUUUCCAUUGAAGCCAGUCCGAGCGCUUUUUGCACUCUGCCAUGGUCUUGGGAUUUGGAUCAUUGAGAAAGAUUUCUGCAAUUGCUGCGGAGAAUUAUAUGUCGACAAUAGUAGUCUUACGAUCGUAUGAUUCUCCUGAAUCUAUGUAAUUGAUGGAAAUUUCUUUCACCCCAUUAUUUGACUACAUUUCCCAAAACUAUGGAGUCAGGGUGUUCCGAUAUCCCAGGAUCAUAAUUUGGAUGCACCGUUGAUCUGGGUUGUGGAUUUUGUCCUGAUGUUGGAUUUUUAUCCACUAUUGGUUGUCUACCAACUUUAGGUUCGCUUGGAUUUAUUUAUUUGGAGGACUUAGUCCUCGAUAUCCUCGGAUGCUCACUUGGAGCAUUAUCCUUAGGAGCGGCCGUACUUUUCCCCUUCUUCUUUGGAAGUGGGAGUUGAAUGGUUUUUAUUGGUACCUCCACUCUUUCAUGCGUAUUGCGAGCAGGAUAAGAGGAUUUAGUGACACCCUUAUAAUCAGUAAAUGCUUCUGGCAGGUUAUUUGCAAUAUGUUGCAAGUUUAUGAUUUUCUGAACUUGUUGUUCAGUCUCUAGAGUACGUGGAUUUGAGGGGGAAAUGCCUUGAGCAUUCCAGAUGAUUUCCUAGCAUUCUAUUUGGUACUUGAAGUCUCCCCCUAAUGCCGGGAAAUGGUCCUCAUUAAAUAUGCAGUCGGCGUAUCGGGCUGUGAAUAAGUCCCCUGUAAGAGGCUCGAGGUAUUUGAUAAUUUAUGGAGAUUGAUAUCCCACAUAGACACCAAGUUUCCUAUGUGGGCCCAUAGAGGUACGCUUAGGCAGUGAGAUCAGUACGUAUACAGCGCAACCGAAUUUUCGCAGAUAGGAAAUAUUUGGCAUAUUCCCACGUACUAAUUGCAAUGGGGAGAUUGCGUGAUAUGCAGUUGGUCGCAAUUGUAUUAAGUCAGCAAUGUGUAAGACUGCAUGACCCCAACUUGAGGUUGGUAGGUUGCAAUUUUGUAAUAAUGGUCGUCCAAUGAGUUUAAUUUUUUUAAUAAGAGAUUCUGCUAAACCAUUUUGCGUAUGGACAUAUGGGACAGAGUGCUGAACUUGAAUUCCCAAAGCUAUACAAUAAUCAUUGAAAGCUUUUGAGGAAAAUUCAGCAGCAUUGUCCAUUCGAAUUGAUUGAAUUUGAUGUUCAGGAUUAUGUGCUCUAAGUCUAAUAACUUGAGCAAUAAUUUUUGCAAAUGCAUGGUUACGAGUGGACAAAAGACACACAUGAGACCAUCUAGUAGAUGCAUCUAUUAGAACCAUGAAGUACCUGAACGGUUCAGACAAUGGUUGUAUAGGGCCACAAAUAUCUCCUUGAAUGCGUUCAAGAAAUUUUAGUGGCUCAUUUUGAAUCUUAGCGGGCGAUGGUCGUACGAUCAAUUUUCCUAUAGUGCAUGAAGUGCACAUAAAAUCUGAAGGUUUGAGGAAUUUAGCAGUAUUUAACUCAUGACCAUUAGAAUUGCUGAUAAUUUUUCGCAUCAUCCCUAUACUAGGAUGGCCAAGGCGAUCAUGCCAAGUUUUGAAUGCGUCAAUAUUCUGAAAAAUUACCUAUUACGUAACAUGUGGUACGGAUUUGAUGUAUGUAUAGUACAAUCCAGAUCAAAAAGAGGCAAUUUUUUCAAUAAUUUGUUUGCUAUAUCCGCUAUUUUUAGUAACGAGGAGAAUUUCCUCAUUAUUGUCAUCACAGGUUUCUAUAUGAAAACCAUUUUGACAGAUAUCUCUAUAACUUAACAAGGUACGCUUUGAAUCGGGAUACAAUAAUGCAUCCUCAAUUGUAAUUUGGGUACCCAUGGGGAGUACAAUAGUGGCACUACCAGAGCCAAUUAUUGUAGCAUCGCAUCCUGCGAUUGUCAAAACAUUUCCUUAUCUUUUUGUAAGAGUUUGGAAAUACUUUGUUUCUCUAAGUAUAGAAUUAGUGGUACCACUAUCCACUAGGCAUAAUUCCUCCUCCAUCAGAUUGACCCCCUAGGAACAUGGGUUGUUUAGGAGCAUUCGCAUGUCAGUUGUUCUCUAUUCACGAGCGUGCUGACAACGUGUUGAAUGUGAAUGUAAAAUAAAUAGAGAUUUGGAAACUGUUUAAUGUUUAUUGAUCUCUUUGGAUUAUAUAUAAGUGAAAUGUCGCAUUGUAUGGACGUGACUGUUCGGGAAAAAGUAACUGUUCAAUGGAACAAUCUACUAAGGGAUAUGUCCUCCAUAGUGCUAACUGCUUAUACUAACUAGCUGCUAAUCCUCUUCCUCUGUUGAUGAGAUCACCGAGUACAUAGAGGUGUCCGUCAGACACACCGUUUCGUAACAUUCUCCACGGCGGCGAACGACGCGAAGGGGGCGUGGGGGUGGCGACUGGCCCGUCGUGAGGAUGGCCUGGAGUAACCCGCCGAAGACGACAAUGCAGUUGCUGUGGCCCAUGCUUGUGCUGCGCGCCCCGGGUUGCCUUCCUGCUGAGAAAUUUCAAGAUUGAAAACAUUUUUUCAAAUUCUUGCUGCUACUGCGCUUGGACAGGCAAAAUUGAAAGCAUUUUUCAAAUUGAAAACCAUUCACAAACAAAUUAUCCUCACCCCCAUCAACUUCUUGUCAUGUUAACCAACACAUAUGCCCAGAACUAUAAACCAGGAAAUGCUUUGCAUCUGAGCUACAGAAAGUUCCAGAAAGGAAACACAGAAGGCGAUGGUCGAUCGAUCAGGAUUAAAUUCCUCCAUGGACAUCGCCGGAUCCAAGCGCCCAUGUUCACCUGCUGCAUUGUUCUCGAACCUGCAGCGGCCCAGACAGAAGAGCCAUUGGUAGAGACUAGUAGAGAGUAGAGACGGUGAUGGCAAAUCAGGUUCUUUUAAGUAACUUCAUAUUUUGCCAACCGAAACACAGCCCCGACAGGCAAGCUGAAGCAUUCCAAGACUGCCUACCGCAGCAUGUACACCAUUCGAAAACUCCAGCAAAACUCAUCUGAAUCCAUCCAUAUUCUAUCGGAAUUCGCAAAACAGGCAUGAAUCAAUGCAUUUCCAGAACGGCAUAAGGAGACACAAAAGACACUGAGCUGAGAAGGCCCAACGAAAUUGCUGGACACAACUCUACAAAACAAACGUAAGCAAAACUCAGGAUCCAACUAAAAUAUGCUUCGAAGAAAGCAAGUUAUUCAUGAAAAACACAUAACCAGAGCAAAUCGCUUGCAAUUGAUAAUCAGAAACUGUUUCUGGCAACGCGCGCCACCUCAACCAACGACCAAUUACGCCAUUAUUCUUCCGCAAAAGCAAACAUCUCUUCCCUCCUCUCCCCACUACUCAACCAGGCUCAAGCGAUGACCAUAAUAAUUCCUCCUAAGCAACGGCACAUCAGCGUCUUCGUACGGGCACACCACACAACCGGCUGGCCGAAUGAGCUUCCUGCCAUGCUGGGCAGCCUAGUACCGGUAGUGAGCGGGCUUGUAGGGACCCUCGAUUGGGACGCUGAUGUAGUCAGACUGAGACUUCGAGAGCUUGGUGAGCUUGGCACCAAGCUUGCCCAAAUGGAGAGCGGCAACCUUCUCAUCAAGGUGCUUCGGAAGCACAUACACCUUCUUCUCAUACUUGCCAGAGCUCUUCUCCUUCCACAGUUCAAGCUGAGCAAUGACCUGUAUCAAACACAAGACUUAGUAUGAUGGGUAGGCAAUGACCAGUAUGAUUUCAAGGUAUUUGUUGCCGUAUUUACCUGGUUAGUGAAUGAGCAGGACAUGACAAAGCUGGGGUGGCCAGUAGCGCACCCAAGGUUCAUCAGACGACCCUCAGCGAGGACAAUGAUGCCAGUGUUGGUCUCAGGGAACACCCAGCGGUCUGUCUGGGGCUUGAUGGUGAUGCGCUUGACACCAGGGUAGGUCUCAAGACCGUGCAUGUCGAUCUCAUUGUCAAAGUGACCAAUGUUGCAGACAAUGGCGUUGUUCUUCAUCUUCCUCAUGUGGUCAACCAUGAUGAUGUCCUUGUUGCCGGUGGUGGUCACAAAGAUGUCAGCUUCAGAGACGACAUCCUCCAAGGUAAGGACCUGAAGACCCUCCAUCAAGGCCUGAAGGGCACAGAUGGGGUCGAUCUCAGUCACGAUGACACGGGCACCAGCCUGCUUGAGGGCAGCAGCACAGCCCUUGCCAACAUCACCAUAACCGCAGACCACUGCGACCUUGCCAGCGAUCAUAACAUCGGUGGCCCUCAUCAAACCAUCAGGGAGGGAGUGGCGGCAACCGUAGAGGUUGUCGAACUGUUCAGAGGUAAAAACACAUCAGUAAUGUCAAACUUAACAGUUGCAUUAUGGUACUAGAUAAAUAGUAAUACACCAGACCGUUUAGAAGAAAACAUAUUUUAUCUGCAAAAUUAUUAUAGUUGCUUACAUGCACUAUAUAGCAAGUGACAUUUCAGAAAGAGUACAUUAAAGAAUCCAUGAAAUGCACUGUAUAGGCACUUUUAAGUUAGAUCAGGCACAUGGAACAAUACAUUACACUAAGCAUCAUAUACUCCAUUCUCUUUUGAUCGUACUAUUUCUUGUUGGCACAAUGACCAAGGAAAACAAUCCUAAUUAUCCUACUUAUCAUCCAUUUAAUCAUGCCAUUAACUAGUCCUCGUAAACAAGCGAUUCAUUAAGGCCUAGACUUCUUGAUGCCCAUGUAGCCCAUCUCAGGUGGAAGAAUGAAGAGUCACGCAUCAGACCCGAGACAACCAUUAAGCGGAUGGAUGGUUGGACUGAAAUAAGACUAUCAAAAGAGAAUUUUUCAGAUUUGGAAAUAUGCCUAUUGAAAGAGAAUGGAGGGAGUACUAAUCUAAAAAAAUGACAGCUUCUACUUACAGACUAUGUGGUGUAAUGUCAGUAUCAUCACAUCCCCCCAAACAUAAGACUACUAUUAAUAAGCAGUCAACAAAAAACUAAUAUUAGAAGACUUUCGCAACCCAAGGACCAAGAUAUAGAUCCAACAGGACGACAACAUGGACCAUGAUUCCUGUAAUUUAGGAGACACUCGAUAACUGAACCACAGAUAUCAGAAUAAUCUGGGCAGCACAAAUAAGCCAUCUCCAUUAACAGAUCUGCCCAACAGAGAUCUAAAUCCCAGAUCCAUACCCAACAUAAUACUACUUCUAGAGAGCUACUCUGCAGAACGGUAAAUUAUGGAAUAUAAGGGUAAAACAUGAUCUAGAUCUACGCAAGGACAAGCAAAGGCAGGCACGUGAAUCACCUUGCUCUUGGUGACGGAGUCGUUGACGUUGAUGGCGGGGAAGAGGAGGGUGCCGGUCUCCUGCAUCUGGUAGAGCCUCUUGACUCCGGUGGUGGUCUCCUCGGAGACGCCGACGAGCCUCUCCUUCAUCUUGCGGUACCUCUUGGGGUCGGACUUGAGGCCGUCGCGGAUGAUGGUGAGCACGAUCUUGAACUCGGCGUUGUCAGUGGACUCCGGGUCGGGGACCUUGCCGGUCUUCUCGUACUCCUCCUCCGCCUUGACGCCCUCGUGGAUGAGUAGCGUGGCGUCGCCGCCGUCGUCGACGAUGAGGUCGGGGCCGCCGCCCUCACCCCAGUCGAGGCAUCGCUCGGUGCACCACCAGUACUCCUCGAGCGUCUCCCCCUUCCACGCGAAGACGGCGGCUGAGUCCCGCGCGAUGGCGGCGGCGGCGUGGUCCUGCGUGGAGAAGAUGUUGCAGGAGCACCAGCGGACCUCGGCGCCGAGCGCGGUGAGGGUCUCGAUGAGGACGGCGGUCUGGAUGGUCAUGUGGAGGGAGCCCGAGAUCCUGGCGCCGGCGAAGGGCUUGGACGGGCCGAACUCGGCGCGGCACGCCAUGAGACCCGGCAUCUCGACCUCCGCCAGCUCGAUCUCGAGGCGGCCGAAGUCGGCCUGGGACAGGUCCUUCACCUUGUACUCCCGCCCCGACGAGGUCUUCUCCACGGAGAGCGCCAUGGCAGCGGGCGGAGGGAGAGCUCGCGGAUUGGAUCUGGGAGGGAAUGGGAGGAGGGGAGGAGACGGCGGGGGGAGUGGAGGUGGAGGGAGGGCCGGAGGGGGGUUUUAGGGGAGAGACGAGGGCGCUGCGCCGUUGGAUCCUGGAAGCGGCCGUCGGAUCUGAACGGGAUUGGUGGGGGGAGUGGGUGAGGGGUUUUUGUAGAUUUUAUUUUAUUUUGUCUAUUUUUGUUGUCAGUGGUGGGGCUACAUCUCAACCAAAGAAAAAGGUUUUUUUUUGAAACUGACAGAAGAAAAAGGUUACCCUAGCAACAUUUUCAGUGGUAUUUUUGAAUUUUUAUAGUGGGAGCCUGUUCGCAUAUUGCAUUUUCUCCUUUCCUGUAAGAUGUAUUUAUAUAGUAUGAAAAGUCUUUAGAAAGUUGUGCUUGAUUUUUCUUAUUGUGCAUUGGUAUCAAGUGAACAAAAUCAACAUCACAAAAAAAAUGAAAUAGAAUAUUUUUUCUAACUUCAGUUGAUGAGUUUUGUUACUUAGAAUUACAGAAAUCCAGCGGCGGCGUAUGCUCACUGUGUCCUUUUCAUCACCAACAUCACUUACACCAAUGCAGUUAGGCACCACCUACAUCAUGUUAUCCUUUUCUAAGGUUCUGUGCAACUACCACCCCAUCAUUGCAGCUCUUUCGGUGCCACAAGCACUCGCUAUUGCCACCAGAACUCCCAUGAUUCCGUCUUGUUUGUCGUGCGUGCAAAUGGCCCUCCUUGUUGACCAUAAGUACUGUUGCAUUAUCAUGUUCUUUUAAUGGGGUUUGGGUUUGCAUUUCUAUCUGUCCAUUGUUUCAAAAUAUAGAUAUUUCAAUUUAAAAUGUGUAAUUCUAAUAUUCAUUACAUGACAUCGGGACCUCUAAAGAUAAAAGAUAUCCUUGUAGCGGGGAAUCUGCCCACCCGAAUUCAAAUCUUCAACUCGGCAUGGUACUUAUAUUUCUUUCAGCUAUUUAAUUUUUAGUGAUAGAAUAUAUACCCCUUCGUACCCGGCACCCGUGACUUUGUCACUUAAUAUGUACCAAACUAGUGCCUCAUAGAUAUUCAUAGAGAUAGGUGUAUGUGCAUGUAUUUAUAGGAACGAGUAGGUGUCCAUAUUUGCAUUGUGUUUUGAAAGAAAAUAAAUUGAAAGAGAGAGAGAGUAAUAAAUUCAUAUUUGAGGGUAGAAGAAUUUGAAUUUCAAAGUGCUUUCAUUAUGAGGCUGAAUUGAGAAGAAGCCAUUAUCCUGCCACAUCAGUUUGGAUUGAGGCUCGAGAAGCAUGAGCCUAGCGAAACAUCCUUUUCGCCAUGACGUGUGUUGCUCGGGUCGAUCGCUCGCCGAAAAUGUGCGCAGCCAAGUUCACUAGAUUUUUCAAGCCAAGCUUUUGGCUGAGAUCCAUCGACGAGGCUGGUGAUCUCCCAACAUCGCUAUCUCGCGAGGUGCCAUGUCAAGCUAAUUUUCCGCAGCCUACUAUUGUCCUUUUCUCCAAAAAUUUCUGGUGGUAGCUAGCAGUGCUUUGGUUGCAGGUUGCAGGCUUGCAGCUGGUGGUGGCCCACGUCAACAAUUUUUUUAAAUAAGAAGAAGCUAUGUGCACGGAACAAUUUUUUUUUCCUUUCAAAAAAAAAAAAUCUUUGCCCCGAUGCUUUCCGGUCCGAAACCAAACCAAAGCAUUCUUUUUUCCGGCUGGGUGCUCGACAGCCGACGGGCCGGGCUCCCUUUUUCUUUUCUUUUCUUGGGAACACCACGCUACGGCAGCGCCUGGCGCCUGUCCCUCUCGUGGACCUCGUGGCUGGCGUGGUCCGUGCGCGUGGGCUGGGCCGGGCCCACGGGGCGCCGCAGUUGGCUUCUACCUACCCGCGGCGAAUCGUGUCCGUUAGCGAGGAAACCAACCAAGGGUGAGUGGUUCAGGUUCUUCACGGUGGGGUAAGGGCAAGACCAAUAUAACCAAUGCUUGAGCAGCAUGGGAGAGGUAGUGUGCGGGGAGAGAGAUUAAUGUUUGUUUAUUUUUUAAGGCAACCCAUAUGUAUAUACGUAGUUUUUGCUAAGGACUACCCUAUGGACUGGUUGCACAAUGUAUAAGGGUAGGUUGAAUGCAUUGUUUAUUGCCUAUGGAUUGCUUUUGUCGCCCUUAUGCAUUCAAAUGCCAAUCACUUCGGCAAGUGUCUACUGUGUGUUUCAUGCUCGAUUCGAUCCGUGCUAUGCGACCAUCAUCACUAAUAUUGAAUCUUUGUAUAUGGCAGAUUUUUAAAGAAUACUCUUUCCGUUCCAAAUUGUAGGUCAUUUUAGCUUUUUUAGGUUCAUAUAUAUUAUUAUGCAUCUAGAUAUAGUGUAUGACUAGAUGCAUAAUAGUAUAUAUGAACUCAAAACAACUUACAAUUUUGAUGAGCAAUAAUUUGCCAUCUGCUGCACUAUAAUGCACUCGUACAUCAAUAUUUUUCAUGUGGGGCCUAGCUGGAGAAAAAAACAUCAUGGCAGCUCAACCGUGACCCGUGAGUCACAUUUUGUUUUCUCUGAAAUUAUGAGCGUGGUUGGUUAGGCUCCAAAACUUACGCUGCCAAAUCUAGGGCAUGCCAAAACGUGGGCAUGAUAACUUUUUUUUUUGCCAAAACCUGGGCAAGAAAGCACUUGAUUGGGUGCUAAAAUGUGAUAGUCAAUUUUUUUUUUUGACUUUCAACCAAACGAGUGCAAAGUUUAAGGGCUUGCCCUAAUUUUGGCUGGGCAAAUAUGUACCCUCGUGGUUGACGAACCGCCAGCAGCAGGUGCCACACCAAUGGCUAACAUUUGUGAUUUGUUCAAUGCCCAGCCCAAUUGCCAAUCUAAUCAAUCGAAAUGUGACGAUAAUGACAAGCUACCAGUACAUGGUUCCCUCCAAACUCCAAAGACAAACACAUGGAACUGUACAUUACUACUACUAUACAUCGACCACGCGCACACGCACGCCACUACGCACUACUAUACUACACUAAAUUUUCGAGCGUAUUACAUACAUGAGCUCCCUGUUUCCUUUCUGAUGAUGUAAAAGCUUCCCUUUUUAUCCAUGUGGAGUGGUGGGCACACCAAGCUCAGUUGUUCUCGCAUGUCGAUUUCCAAAGCCAUCUCCAUGGCCGCUGAAAAAAAAAUAUUGCACCCAUAAAGAGAUAUGGGUGCUCGCACACCAGAAGAAAGAUCAGUGAAAUGCCAACCAAAAGCGCUGGACCGAAACUGGCAGCCUAGGUGUCAGACCAAUGAUAAUAGAGAGGCAAAGGGGUGCAUUGAGCCAAAGCCUAAGUGAGAGCACAAUUCGUUAGGCACCUGCAGGCCAGGCCAGCGCAAUCCACAGUCCAAUUGCUAUACCUGGGCCGAUCAUGAAGCACAACAGGGUGCAAAUGCAGCUCAACCCCGACUUGUGCUAAGAUGUCGAGGAGCUCCGAAUUGGAUGCAAACGUAGGACCUAUGUUGUCACGUCGUACUGGAGGGCAGCUAUAUUGCACUAGUCUAAGGCCUGGAUUAUUAACUACUAAUAUGACAAAAAAAAACUACUAAUAUGACAAGCUGGCUCUAGAGGCCAACAAAACUAGCAUGACGAACAUCCUUAACAUUUCGCCUCAGGCCUGGAUUAUUAGCAAAAACCAUGUCCCAGUGACUAUAUUUGCAGGCAGGGUGCUAGAUUCUCAAUUAUGUAUCCCGUAAAGCUGGGCGGGAACAAAAUAGGCUGGUUAAGCUGAAAUCUGUGAACCAGUGCGUCUAAACCAAAUGAACAAAGAUAAUAUUCCCCAAUCACAGUAACUGUCUAAAUGGAUGUUGCAGGUGUAAGUUGACAACAGAAGAAAAAAUCAGCCUACAUGAAUGUUACCUGUGCGGUAAUCUGAGCUCACCAAAAACUUCAGAAGGAUGUGAUCAAAUGGCACAUGACAUAUAGCUAUACUCUACACACUAAUUUUCACCUGAUUCACUGUUAUUUAUCAUGGGGAACCACUUCGCUUUGUGCUUUUCAGUAAGCUAGGUUAGAACUCUCAAGUAAACAUAAGCUACCUAUGCAAACAAAAAUUGUAGAAAAAUAAUUUCCAAAUCCGUUAGAAGGUUAUAUUAAUGUACAAGGAAGGAUAGUACACUGACCACCAUGGUUCAAUAGUAAAAGACGAACACUUUUGAAGGCCCUCCACAAAAUUUAGUCACUUAGGUACAACAAGCUGACUGCCAUCAAGCUUCCUUAUCUUGAAGCAGCCACAGCUUAGCUGCAGAUGUGUCAUACAACAAUCGAGUGAGUUUAACAAACUCUCCCAGCUCUUGGGUGGUAUAAUGAAGUAAUUAUUACCAGGUGCAAUACAUAACAGGAACAGAUCACCAGCUAAUGAGUCAAAUGGCAAAAAAGCAAUUUCCCAGGCAAGGCUACUAAAAACCUGCGUGCAGGGGCAUCAAGCAACAAGUAAACUACAUUGCUCAAGAACACAAGAACCCUGAGCAUUUUUGUUAGCACCAAGCACCAUGUAUUCGCAUGCAUGAAUUCAACUUAAACCAUGGUCACGCAUAUGCUCAAAAUGCUCAGUCACGUAUAACGAUUUCAGAGUGGAAAGACUUUUAUUUAAGUACUAGCCCACUUGACUAGGAAGGAUACAGAACUAUUAGAGAUUGUAUAGCUGAUUUAUGCUUUCCAUGUGUACUUGAUUGUAUUCUCUGUAUACCAAGCUACAUUGGCUAUAUAUAUUAAAGGUCAACCCCGUGUGGUGUUCCCUGAAUCCUAUCUCUCUACAUGGUAUUAAGAGAUCGGGAUCAAUUUGUCCCACGCCUUUCCUUCCGCUCCUUUCUACCCUAAACCGCGUUGCGACUCCAUUGCGACGCGUCCUCCCCUCCCCGUGCGCCGUCCUCUUGGCGGCGUCCCUCCCUUCCUCUCCCCGACGUCCAUGUCUCAAGCCUCCACUGCCGAAUCCGCCAUGUCCAGCACCAUGCCUGCCCUCGGCGCUGGCACCAUGCCUGCCCUCGGCGCUGGCACCCUGCUCGCCAUGGGCGCCGGCACCGCGCCGGCCACGGGCGCUGGCACUCAACCUGUGCUCGGCUCCGAAUCCUCCCCUGCGAUAGGUGACGACACGACGCAGGGCAGUGGCGGUGGCUUCAUCCUCUACGCCACGCCGCCGGCUAUCAUCCACCCCUAUGUCACUGUCUGCGUCAAAUCUCAUGUCCCCGUGACCCUGACGAUGAAGAACUCCACCUACUCCAAGUGGGCCUCUUUCAAGUCGAUGUGCGGCAAAUUCGGCCUCACAUCGCACAUCGACGGCACGGCAGCGCCUCGUCCCGAUGACCCCGACCGGGAUCAAGCGGAUUGCUGCAUUCGCUCUUGGAUUUUUAGCUCCGUCGAUGACUCCGUCCUCGACCUCGCCAUGGACGACAAUGAGCAGAUCGUCCGGGCCC
This 60444-nucleotide long non-coding RNA is filed under the name Setaria italica (foxtail millet). RNAcentral describes it as "long non-coding RNA (SITA_LNC004381)". Lineage: Eukaryota; Viridiplantae; Streptophyta; Magnoliopsida; Poales; Poaceae. The record is from RNAcentral.